UGACAUUAUCCGCCGCUACGUCUUGACCGAUCCGAAUCCAACGGCUUCAGUUGUGAUCCAAGGCACUGUCGUCCACGUCAAGCCCUCUCCUGUGCUUGCAGCAUUUAGCUCGCGAGGACCUAAUCCCAUAACGCCAAACAUUCUCAAACCGGACUUGAUUGCUCCGGGAGUCAAUAUCCUCGCCGCGUGGACCGGAGCUCUGGGUCCCACCGGACUAGCUUCCGAUACUCGCCGCGUGGAAUUCAACAUCAUCUCAGGAACGUCCAUGUCUUGCCCUCACGUGAGCGGUUUAGCGGCUCUUCUCAAGUCUGUGCAUCCCGAAUGGAGCCCGGCCGCGAUUCGAUCUGCUCUCAUGACCACCGCUUACAAUACCUACAAAGACGGCAAACGGAUCCGGGACAUCGCGACGGGGAAACCUUCUACGCCGUUCGAGCACGGUGCAGGACAUGUAUCGCCAACGAUCGCCGUCAAUCCAGGACUCAUCUACGAUCUAACGACGGUGGAUUAUUUAGAUUUCCUCUGCGCAUUGAAAUACAAUUCGUCGCUGAUCAGAAUCAUAUCGAGAGGCAAUUACACUUGCAACCCAAGCAAAAAUUACUCCGUCGCUGAUCUAAACUAUCCGUCGUUUGCCGUUAACGUCGACGGAUCCGACACGUACAAGUACACACGCACUGUCACAAACGUUGGAGGAGCUGGGUCGUACUCGGUUAAAGUAACGUCGGAGACAACGGCAGUCAAAAUUUCGGUUCAACCGGCGGUUUUGAAUUUCAAGGAAGUAAACGAGAAGAAAUCGUAUUCAGUGACGUUUACCGUUGACUCGUCUAAGCCGUCUGGGUCUAACAGCUUUGGGAGCAUUGAGUGGUCAGAUGGGAAACACGUGGUGGCUAGUCCGGUGGCUAUUAGCUGGACAUAGUAGUCAAUUACGACUACCUUGAGAAAGAAGAAAGUCACAUAUAUUGUAAUGUCGUUUUUCAUAAGAGCUCUGUUUAGCGAAAACAGCAUGCAGUCUGUUUUGUACGUAAUUUUUAUCACUAGACUUGAAUAUUUAAUGAAAAGUAAAAAAGUAUGGCUUUUGUUAAAAGCAAUUUCACCUAUUUACAUGAUUGUGAACCACUCUAAGUAGAAAACUAUCACUAAUCAAUUACCUCCAGUGUUUCAUAACAAUGUGACUGCAAUGAGUUUAAACAUAUUUUAAUCUAAUAACAUAAAUCACCAAUAAUAACAAGUUCAUCAGUAUGAGGUACUAAGGAGAGCAAUCGAAAUAACAAACUAUUUUUUUUAAUUGAAAUAACAAAAUGUUUGGCUUUUGUUAAAAGCGAGCAAUUUCACCUAUUUACAUUACACAAAUUUGCAGAGGAAAAUCCAAAAUAAAAGAAAAAGAUAAAAUUCAUGAAUACUGGCACUCGACUCAAAUUUAAUCAAGGUCCAAUUACAACUUGAUAUAGAAUUUUAUUUUCAAAAAUUUAAUAUAAAAAUAAGGACGUGAACAAGAGUCAAAAACCCACCGUGGCAUUAUCUAUCACUCAGGGACCAAUACAAUGGACCAACCUGCCAGCUUUUGAUGUUGCUACAAUUUUUAUUUUUCCUGGUUUAUAAAAAUAUAAACUAAAGUAAAAAGAAAAUCUGAAAAUGUAUCACUGUAAUGUUAGCUAUUUUUAUGUGAUUUUAGUUAGUUUGAUCUGAUAUUCAUGUCGUACCAUACAACCAAAGUCUCUAGUUGCCACUCACAUUAUUUGGAUCCAACCCUCAAAGCCCCAUAGAAUAUAUAUAUAUAUAUAUGGAAAGUAGUUCGUUACUUCGCUUUUGUCUUGUGAUGAGCCUUAAUGGACUUACAAUAUUCUUAAACCCUAAACCCUGAUUUUAAAACACCAAAGCAUUCAUGUCAGCCUAGAGAAUUUGCAGUAGAGAUUCAUACCAGAAAGCCGAGAGUAAGAUGGCAUCCCUUGGAGGAGGAUCUUCCGGAUUAACCGAUGGAUAGCUCACACUCAUUUGCUUCUCUUAUCAUAUAAAAUUUCGGGGAAACAAAUCAAGCGAUGAGUAUAGCUUAUUGAUCAUUUUCCUUUCAAAUACUCGUACACUUCAAAUCUAAUUCAAGUUCUUAUAAGGUAAAACUUUUCUGGCUAGAUUCCAGAAGGUAAACUUGUGUUCACACUUCACAGUCACCUAUAAACCAUCUUUAUAGUCUCAAACAAAUCACAGUCAGUAUAUCUAGUAUAGUAAUCAUUAAUCAGUGUAACUGGAUAAUUAUUUCAUGUCGAACAUAGUAAACUUAUGAGAACAAAAGUCUUUAUCUUUUGUCCUUGGUGAACAGAAGUCUACAAACAUUAAAAUUUACGAAAUAAAUUGAGAGAGAAAUCAAAAUGUGUGUGUGGAAAACCACUGUAACAUACAAACAAAAUAUACUCAAAAUUUUGAAUUUUGCAUUAGUACACACCACCAAAUAAUCUUCUAGAGAUAUGAACUAAGAGGCUAUAUUCACUUUAGUGUUAAAAGUUUUUGAACGUCAUUAUGGUUUUCUCGAUCCCCCAUGAUACUAUCAAACCUAUAAACCGUCUUUAUAGUCUAAAACAAGUCACAGUAAAUAUGAGGAUUAAAAACGUUAAUACUAAUCGGAAACACACAAUCUCAAGAUUAUAAUCUCGAGAUAAUACUAGAGUAUAGUAAUUAGUGUAAUUGGAUAAAUAUUAUUUCAAGUUGAACAUAGGUAAAAAUUAUGCGAACAAAAGUCUUUAUUUUUUGUCUUGGUGAGCAGAAGUCUACAGAGAUUAGAAUUUACGUAAAAACAAAAUUAAUCACUUUCGAAGCAGAAUAGUGGACAGGAGUCUAGUUGCCCAUUAUCUCUUUUUUUUUUUUUUUAAAAACACACUUGUCCAGUAUCUCCUCACUCUCUUUUUAUACUCUAUAUAAUCUCCCUCGCGUCUUUAACAUUUUCCGCACAAAUUAUAAAACAUGUCUUUUCUCUCCUCCACCGCUCUCUUCUUCUUUAUCGUUCUUCUUAAUCUGAGUUCUUUUCACGCCUCCGAUGGAGCUCAACAAGCUACUUACAUUGUUCACAUGGCGAAAUCUCAGAUGCCCUCGAGCUUCGACCACCACUCUCUCUGGUACGAUUCCUCACUCCGCUCAGUCUCAGAAUCCGCUGAAAUGAUCUACACCUACAACAAUGCGAUACAUGGAUUCGCCACUCGGCUUACUCCCGGAGAAGCCGACUCACUCAUGACCCAACCUGGUGUCAUCUCGGUUCAACAAGAGCAGAAGUACGAGUUACACACCACUCGAACUCCAUUAUUCCUUGGUCUCGACGGACAAAACGCAGGACUAUUCCCCGAAACCGGCGCCUCAAGCGACAUAGUCAUAGGAGUUCUGGACACCGGUAUUUGGCCAGAGAGCAAAAGCUUCUCUGAUGAAGGAUACGGUCCAAUUCCAUCUACAUGGAAAGGCGAAUGCCAGGCUGGGACUAACUUCACCGCUUCGCUGUGUAACCGCAAACUAAUCGGAGCUAGAUUCUUCUCUGACGGUUACGAAAGAGAUUAUGGAAAAAUCAACCAAGCCGACGAGUCGAAAUCGCCGAGAGACGACUUCGGUCAUGGAACACACACGGCGUCAACCGCGGCUGGAAACGUCGUGAAAGGAGCUAAUUAUUUAGGCUUUGCUAGUGGGACGGCUAGUGGGAUGGCUCAUCGCGUCCGAGUGUCUGUUUACAAAGUUUGUUGGAAAAGUGCUUGCGUGAGCUCAGAUAUUUUAGCUGGAAUGGAUAAAGCCAUCGAAGAUAAUGUCCACAUUAUGUCAUUAUCUAUCGGUGGUAAAUCGACAAGUUAUACAGGCGAAAUUUCCAUGGGUGCAUUCUCGGCCAUGGAAAGAGGGAUCUUUGUUUCCUGCUCUGCUGGUAAUGAUGGUCCCAGCCCAUCCAGCUUAUCAAACGCAGCUCCCUGGAUUACUACUGUUGGUGCUAGUAGUAUUGACCGUGAGUUUCCCGGGGUUGUGAUCCUCGGCAACGGAAAGAACUAUACUGGAGUUUCGUUGUUCAAUGGAAAUGCUCUUCCUGCUAAAUUGUUGCCGUUUGUUUAUGGAAAUUAUUGUAGCCGCGGAACACUAAAUCCUGAGAAGGUAAAGGGGAAGAUCGUGAUGUGCAUCAAAGAUGACAGUGUAAGGACUGAGAAAGGGGAGGUGGUGAAAGCUGCCGGUGGACUCGGAAUGAUUCUGGCAAAUGCAGCAGGGAGCGGAGAAGAAGUUCUGGCGGAUGCUCAUGUGUUACCUGUGACCGCCGUGGGACAGAAAGCCGGUGACAUUAUCCGUCGCUACGUCUUGACCGAUCCGAAUCCCACCGCUUCCAUUUUGAUCAGAGGAACGGUCGUGAACGUCCGGCCAUCUCCGAUGGUUGCCGCGUUUAGCUCGCGGGGACCUAAUACGAUAACGCCAAACAUUCUCAAACCGGAUUUGAUAGCUCCUGGAGUCAAUAUCCUCGCCGCAUGGACCGGAGCUCUGGGUCCCAGUGGACUCGGAACCACUUCCGAUACUCGUCGCGUGGAAUUCAACAUCAACUCGGGAACGUCCAUGUCUUGCCCUCACGUGAGCGGUUUAGCGGCUCUCCUCAAGUCUGUGCAUCCGGAAUGGAGCCCCGCGGCAAUUCGAUCGGCUCUCAUGACCACCGCUUACAAUACCUACAAAGACGGCAAACCGAUCCUCGACGUCGCGACGGGAAAACCUUCAACACCGUUCGAGCACGGUGCAGGACACGUGUCGCCCACGGCGGCCGUCAAUCCAGGACUCAUCUACGAUCUAACGACGGAGGAUUAUAUAGAUUUCAUCUGCGCAUCGAAUUAUAAUUCGUCGCUGAUCACAAUCAUAUCGAGAGGCAAUUACGCUUGUCCAAGAAAAACGCACCCCGCAGCUGAUCUAAACUAUCCGUCGUUCGCCGUUAACGUCAAAGGAUCCGGCACGUACAAGUACACCCGCACUGUCACAAACGUGGGAGGAGCUGGGUCAUACUCGGUUAAAGUAACGUCGGAGACAACGGCAGUCAAGAUUUCGGUUGAACCGGCGGUUUUGAAUUUCAAAGAAGUGAACGAGAAGAAAUCGUAUUCGGUAACGUUUACCGUUAUCUCAUCUAAGGCGCCAAUGUCUAACAGCUUCGGGAGCAUUGAAUGGUCAGAUGGGAAACACGUGGUGGCCAGUCCCGUGGCGAUUAGCUGGACAUAGGUGGUCCAUGAAGAAAUAUGGCGACUUGAGUAAGAAGAAAGCAACAGAUAUUGUAAUUUCUCAUGAGCCUUGGAUAUUUAAUGAAAAGUAAAAAAUUGGUAAGUACUAUUUUAGCUGGCUAGUGUGUUAUGAAUAUUCUUAUUUACUAGGCUGUGGACAUUGUAGAUACUGACAAUUAUUAGAUUAGUUUAUGAGAUAUGAAAUAUACUAGGCACUUGAUUCACGUUGCAUGAAUGUGAACCACUCAACGUAGGAAACUAUCACUAAUCAAAUACAUCUAGUGUAUCAUAACAAUGUGAUUACGAUGAGUUAAAAAAUAUGAAUCUAAUAACAUAGAGAAAAAGUAGAAACGACUCUAAGAGCUAAUCAUAACCAACUAGAGGUUUCAUUUCAAGAACCAACAAUAACAAGUUCAUAAACAUGAGGUAAUAAAAGAUAUCAAUCGAAAUAAAUACCUAUCUUCAAACAAACUAUAAAAAUGUAUGGCUUUUGUUAAAAGCAAACUCACCUCUUUCCAGUACACAAAUUUGCAGAGAAAAAUCCAAAAAAAAAAAGAAAAGGAUAAAACAAAUUCACGAAUAGUAACUCAAUUUUGAUCAACGUCCAAUUAAAACCCUGAUAUGUAAUUUUAUUUUCAGAAACCCAUCGUGGCAUUAUCACUCAGAGACUAAUACAAUUGGACCAACCUGCCAGCUUCUGAUGUUGCUAUAUUUUUAUUUUUUUUCUGUUUUAUAAAAAUAAAAACUAAUGUUAAAAGAGAGAAUGUAUCCCUGUAUUGUUAACUAUUGAUAUGAUUUAGUUAGUCUGAUCUGAUGUGAAGACAUGUUAAUUCAUACCAUACAAACCAAAGUCUCAAAUUGCCACCCACAUUAUUUGGAUCCCAACCGUCAAAAGCAUUGGUUAGUUGGUGUCUUCGACGAAACUCAUUGAGAUCUUUGCAAAGUAGUUCGUUUCUUUGCUUCUGUCUUGUGAUGAGCCUUAAAGAUAUUAAUAGACUCACAACUUACAUAAACCCUAAACCUGAUUUUAAAGUUGAGGAGGAUCAUGAACUUUAAAGAUAUUAAUAGACUCAUAACUUUGCUUCUGUUUUGUGAUAAGUUACAGCAGCCGGACUAGGAUCUUCCACCAAUGAACCGAUGCAUGGCUCACACUAAUUUGCUUCUCUUAUCUAAAACAAAUUUCGGGGAAAUAAAGCGAUGAGUAGAGCUUAUUGAUGAUUUCCUCACUCCGCUCAGUCUCAGAAUCCGCUGAAAUGAUCUACACCUACAACAAUGCGAUACAUGGAUUCGCCACUCGGCUUACUCCCGGAGAAGCCGACUCACUCAUGACCCAACCUGGUGUCAUCUCGGUUCAACAAGAGCAGAAGUACGAGUUACACACCACUCGAACUCCAUUAUUCCUUGGUCUCGACGGACAAAACGCAGGACUAUUCCCCGAAACCGGCGCCUCAAGCGACAUAGUCAUAGGAGUUCUGGACACCGGUAUUUGGCCAGAGAGCAAAAGCUUCUCUGAUGAAGGAUACGGUCCAAUUCCAUCUACAUGGAAAGGCGAAUGCCAGGCUGGGACUAACUUCACCGCUUCGCUGUGUAACCGCAAACUAAUCGGAGCUAGAUUCUUCUCUGACGGUUACGAAAGAGAUUAUGGAAAAAUCAACCAAGCCGACGAGUCGAAAUCGCCGAGAGACGACUUCGGUCAUGGAACACACACGGCGUCAACCGCGGCUGGAAACGUCGUGAAAGGAGCUAAUUAUUUAGGCUUUGCUAGUGGGACGGCUAGUGGGAUGGCUCAUCGCGUCCGAGUGUCUGUUUACAAAGUUUGUUGGAAAAGUGCUUGCGUGAGCUCAGAUAUUUUAGCUGGAAUGGAUAAAGCCAUCGAAGAUAAUGUCCACAUUAUGUCAUUAUCUAUCGGUGGUAAAUCGACAAGUUAUACAGGCGAAAUUUCCAUGGGUGCAUUCUCGGCCAUGGAAAGAGGGAUCUUUGUUUCCUGCUCUGCUGGUAAUGAUGGUCCCAGCCCAUCCAGCUUAUCAAACGCAGCUCCCUGGAUUACUACUGUUGGUGCUAGUAGUAUUGACCGUGAGUUUCCCGGGGUUGUGAUCCUCGGCAACGGAAAGAACUAUACUGGAGUUUCGUUGUUCAAUGGAAAUGCUCUUCCUGCUAAAUUGUUGCCGUUUGUUUAUGGAAAUUAUUGUAGCCGCGGAACACUAAAUCCUGAGAAGGUAAAGGGGAAGAUCGUGAUGUGCAUCAAAGAUGACAGUGUAAGGACUGAGAAAGGGGAGGUGGUGAAAGCUGCCGGUGGACUCGGAAUGAUUCUGGCAAAUGCAGCAGGGAGCGGAGAAGAAGUUCUGGCGGAUGCUCAUGUGUUACCUGUGACCGCCGUGGGACAGAAAGCCGGUGACAUUAUCCGUCGCUACGUCUUGACCGAUCCGAAUCCCACCGCUUCCAUUUUGAUCAGAGGAACGGUCGUGAACGUCCGGCCAUCUCCGAUGGUUGCCGCGUUUAGCUCGCGGGGACCUAAUACGAUAACGCCAAACAUUCUCAAACCGGAUUUGAUAGCUCCUGGAGUCAAUAUCCUCGCCGCAUGGACCGGAGCUCUGGGUCCCAGUGGACUCGGAACCACUUCCGAUACUCGUCGCGUGGAAUUCAACAUCAACUCGGGAACGUCCAUGUCUUGCCCUCACGUGAGCGGUUUAGCGGCUCUCCUCAAGUCUGUGCAUCCGGAAUGGAGCCCCGCGGCAAUUCGAUCGGCUCUCAUGACCACCGCUUACAAUACCUACAAAGACGGCAAACCGAUCCUCGACGUCGCGACGGGAAAACCUUCAACACCGUUCGAGCACGGUGCAGGACACGUGUCGCCCACGGCGGCCGUCAAUCCAGGACUCAUCUACGAUCUAACGACGGAGGAUUAUAUAGAUUUCAUCUGCGCAUCGAAUUAUAAUUCGUCGCUGAUCACAAUCAUAUCGAGAGGCAAUUACGCUUGUCCAAGAAAAACGCACCCCGCAGCUGAUCUAAACUAUCCGUCGUUCGCCGUUAACGUCAAAGGAUCCGGCACGUACAAGUACACCCGCACUGUCACAAACGUGGGAGGAGCUGGGUCAUACUCGGUUAAAGUAACGUCGGAGACAACGGCAGUCAAGAUUUCGGUUGAACCGGCGGUUUUGAAUUUCAAAGAAGUGAACGAGAAGAAAUCGUAUUCGGUAACGUUUACCGUUAUCUCAUCUAAGGCGCCAAUGUCUAACAGCUUCGGGAGCAUUGAAUGGUCAGAUGGGAAACACGUGGUGGCCAGUCCCGUGGCGAUUAGCUGGACAUAGGUGGUCCAUGAAGAAAUAUGGCGACUUGAGUAAGAAGAAAGCAACAGAUAUUGUAAUUUCUCAUGAGCCUUGGAUAUUUAAUGAAAAGUAAAAAAUUGGUAAGUACUAUUUUAGCUGGCUAGUGUGUUAUGAAUAUUCUUAUUUACUAGGCUGUGGACAUUGUAGAUACUGACAAUUAUUAGAUUAGUUUAUGAGAUAUGAAAUAUACUAGGCACUUGAUUCACGUUGCAUGAAUGUGAACCACUCAACGUAGGAAACUAUCACUAAUCAAAUACAUCUAGUGUAUCAUAACAAUGUGAUUACGAUGAGUUAAAAAAUAUGAAUCUAAUAACAUAGAGAAAAAGUAGAAACGACUCUAAGAGCUAAUCAUAACCAACUAGAGGUUUCAUUUCAAGAACCAACAAUAACAAGUUCAUAAACAUGAGGUAAUAAAAGAUAUCAAUCGAAAUAAAUACCUAUCUUCAAACAAACUAUAAAAAUGUAUGGCUUUUGUUAAAAGCAAACUCACCUCUUUCCAGUACACAAAUUUGCAGAGAAAAAUCCAAAAAAAAAAAGAAAAGGAUAAAACAAAUUCACGAAUAGUAACUCAAUUUUGAUCAACGUCCAAUUAAAACCCUGAUAUGUAAUUUUAUUUUCAGAAACCCAUCGUGGCAUUAUCACUCAGAGACUAAUACAAUUGGACCAACCUGCCAGCUUCUGAUGUUGCUAUAUUUUUAUUUUUUUUCUGUUUUAUAAAAAUAAAAACUAAUGUUAAAAGAGAGAAUGUAUCCCUGUAUUGUUAACUAUUGAUAUGAUUUAGUUAGUCUGAUCUGAUGUGAAGACAUGUUAAUUCAUACCAUACAAACCAAAGUCUCAAAUUGCCACCCACAUUAUUUGGAUCCCAACCGUCAAAAGCAUUGGUUAGUUGGUGUCUUCGACGAAACUCAUUGAGAUCUUUGCAAAGUAGUUCGUUUCUUUGCUUCUGUCUUGUGAUGAGCCUUAAAGAUAUUAAUAGACUCACAACUUACAUAAACCCUAAACCUGAUUUUAAAGUUGAGGAGGAUCAUGAACUUUAAAGAUAUUAAUAGACUCAUAACUUUGCUUCUGUUUUGUGAUAAGUUACAGCAGCCGGACUAGGAUCUUCCACCAAUGAACCGAUGCAUGGCUCACACUAAUUUGCUUCUCUUAUCUAAAACAAAUUUCGGGGAAAUAAAGCGAUGAGUAGAGCUUAUUGAUGAUUUUCCCUUUAGAAUCCUCUCACAUUUCAAAUAUAAUUUCAAAUUGUUAUAAGGUAAAACUUUUCUGGCUAGAUUCCAACUAGUAGUUUCGUUCAAAGGGAGAAAAUGAGAUCAAAUUAAAUCGUCUAAUAUUCACUUUGUUUUAAUGGUUUUUAUCCAACCUAUAAACCAUUUUUAUAGUCUCAAACAAGUCACAGUAAACAUCAAAAAGAACACAGGUAAACUUAUGUUCACAGUCACCUAUAAACUAUCUUUAUAGUCUCAAACAAGUCACAGCCAAUAUAUCCAGUAUAGUAAUCAGUGUGAUAUAUUAUUUGAUGUUGAACAUAGGUAAACUUCUCUGAACAAAAGUCUUUAUAUUUUGUCUUUGAACAGAAGUCUUCUAACAUUAAAAUUUACAAAAAGAACAAAAAUAAAUUUAGAGACAAAUCAAAACGGAAAGCAAAACUGAUCACUUUCAAAACAGAAUAGUGGACAGAAGAGUCUAAGAGCACCUCCAGUGCAUUACAUAACAUAAGUACACCACCAAAUAAUCUUCUAGUUAGAGAUAUGAAUUAAAAGGCUAUAUUCACUUAGUCUUAGAUUUUUAUCAAAACAUAUAAACCAUUUUUAUAGAGACUCAACAAGUUGUCAGCAUCAUAGUUAAAAUAUGUUAAUACUAAAUAGAAACAGAGAAUCUUAAAAUAAUAAAACAAUAAUAAUCUCGAGCUAAUACUGAAAUAUAAUAGUCAGUGUAAUUGAAUAUAUAUUAUUUCAUGUUGAACAUAGGUCAACUUAUGUGAACAAAAGUCUUUUAGGUUUUGUCCUCUUUGAAGAUAAGUCUAUAAACCUUAAAAAUUUACGGAAAAAAAAAACAAAAAAAAAAAUCAGAGAGAAAUCAAAAUGUGUGUGUGGAAAACCAACAUAACAUACAAACAAAAUAUACUUUAAAGGAAAUUGGAUUUUAUACAACUACACCAAGUAUAAUCUUCUAGAGUUAUAUAUUAAGGUUAUAUUCACUUAGUGUUAAUGUUUUUUGAACAUCAUAAAGGUCUUCUGAAUCCCUCAUGGCAUGAUGAUUUUAUCAAAACUAUAACCGAUCUUUAUCAUCUCAAACGAGUCACAGUAAAUAUCAGAAUUAAAGAGGUAAUACUAAACAAAAACAUAGAAUCUCAAGAAAAUAAACCAAUAAUUGUCUCGAGAUAAUACCAUAGUAUAGUAAAAAAAAUUGAUAAUCCGGAGUAUCCAAAUCCGAAAGACUAACUGAUUUUUUGGGGUCGAUCCACCGGCCACAGACAAGCUCGUUUACUCUAUAUGAGAGUUACAUAUCCAAGCCGCCUAAAUAUAUGCAGAUGAAUAAAUUUAAAUGGUAGGUUUUGGACUCGGGAUGCUCAGCACGUUUUCGAACCUGUCGUAUCACUCGAUAAUAUAUGUAUGGUUAAUUAUAGUAAUUAGUGUAAGUGGAUAUAUUAUUAUUUCAUGUUGAACAUAGUUAAUAUCAUGUGAACAAAAGUCUUUAUUUUUUGUCUUGAUGAACAAAGUCUACGAAGAUUAAAAUUUACCUAAAAACAAAAGUAAAUUUUAGAGAAGUCGAAAAGAAAAACGAAAGAGAUCACUUUAAAAGCAGAAUAGUGAACAAGAGUGUUAUAGUAAUAUCUCCUCACUCUCUUUCUCGACUCUAUAUAAACUCUCUCGCAUCUUCACAUUUUCCACACAACUUCACAAAACAUGUCUUCUUCGUUUGUCUCAUCCACUGCUUCUUUCUUCUUUAUCGUUCUUCUUUAUCACGGUUCCUUCCACGUCUCCGAUGGAGCUCAACAAGCUACAUUCAUUGUUCACAUGGCGAAAUAUCAGAUGCCCUCAAGCUUCGACCACCACUCUCUCUCUGGUACGAGUCCUCUCUCAAAUCCGUAUCAGAAUCUGCUGAAAUGCUCUACACUUACAACAAUGUAAUUCACGGAUUACUUCCGAAGAAGCUGACUCACUCAUGACCACCGCUUACAAUACCUACAAAGACGGACAACCGAUCAUUGACAUCGGGACGGUAAAACCUUCAACGCCGAUUGGGCACGGUGCAGGACACGUGUCACCGACGACGGCCAUCAGUCCAGGACUCAUCUACGAUCUAACGACUAAGUAUUAUAUAGAUUUCCUCUGCGCAUUGAAUUAUAAUUCGUCGCAGAUAAUAAAAGUAUCGAGAGGCAAUUACACUUGCGAUACAAGGAAAACUUACUCCGUUGCUUAUCUAAACUAUCCAUCGUUUGCCGUUAACGUCGACGGGUCCGACACGUACAAGUACACACGCACGGUCACAGCAGUUAAGAUUUCGGUUGAACCGCCGGAUUUGAUUUUCAAAGAAGUAAACGAGAAGAAAUCGUAUUCGGUAACGUUUACUGUUGACCCGUCGAAGCCGUCAGGGUCUAACAGCUUUGGCAGCAUCGAGUGGUCGGAUGGGAAACACGUGGUAGCCAGUCCAGUGGCAAUUAGCUGGACAUAGUAGUCAAUUACGACUAACUUGAGAAAGAAGAAAGUUACAGAUAUAAAAAAAAAAAAAGAAAGUUACAGAUAUUUAUAUGCCGUUUUCCAUAAGAACUCUGUUUAGCGAAAACGGCAUGAAGUCGGUUUUCUAGGUAAUAUAACAAGAGACUUGAAUAUUUAAUGAAAAGUAAAAAAAUGGUAACGACUAGUUUAGCUGGCUAGUGUGUUAUGACUUUUUUUAUUUACUAGGCUAUCGACAUUGUAAGAUACUGAAAAAUAAAAUGAACAAUAUCAAAUAAAAUAAUAAAGCAAAGAAAUAUCAUUAAAACGAAUCAGCUUAAUAUAUCUUAUUAAAUAAAGUUUACAUAUUCCACGUCACUCUGGAGAGGGGGAGUUUUCUUGCCACGUGUCGCCUCACCAAACAAACGAUUUCUGUGUAAUCCGGUCUUAUUCGAACUGGGCUUUUAUUAAAUUUUAUUAUUAAGCUCAAUAUUAUGUCAAGCUCACGUAUCAUUAGCUAUCUUCUUCCUUUCAAGCUUGCGACUUCCCCGAUGCAAUUUCCAGAAACUUAAAUCGAUGUUCCUAUCUCCGUAUCGUCUCAGCCUUCCAUUAAUCCGUUCUUAACUCAGAGUUUUUGCGUGUUUGAUCCACCCCUCUCACUGCAAAGUUUUGUUUUUGUUAGGGAAAAGGGAUGAAGUCAGAGCGUGCUGCCAAAUUGAUGCUAGAGGCGCUGCUUAUGCUGUUCCUGGCUCUCGCAAGACGGUGACUUGAGGUUCGGCUCCUUUGAAAUCUGUGUGUUCUUUGGUCGUUUAUAUUUUUAGUGCGUUAAGGUGUUAGUUUCUGCUUCUUGAGUUAGUUUUAAGCAAAGUGUUGAGUAUGGUACAACAAUCAAGCAUAAAAAAUCGUCGUUUUUCAGUAAAAUGAAAGUUAGAUUCUUUGAUGUGUGAAUCUGUGGCUAUGAUGUAUUAAAACAUAUUGGUUUGCAGGGAGAUAAUGUUACAAUGAAAUUAAGAUCGUAUGGAUAGUUGGAACCUCAUUUGCAGCUGAAGAAUAAGCAUGUCGGUUCAAGUUUCUUACACACAGCUCCUCAUAGAUGGAAACUUCGUCGACUCUGCUUCUGGUGAGUAAUAUUUUCAUUCAUAAACAUCGGAAUAACAAAGGAAAAUUUUGAAUUUUGAGAUUCAAGUUCCAUGAGCACUAAUGUUUGGUUUUGGAUUGGGAGUUUAAGUAAGACGUUCCCGACUCUUGAUCGACGCACAUGGAAAGUCAUUGUGAACGUAGCUGAAGGCGACACUGAAGAUAUCAACCAGGCGGUGAAAGCUGCAAGGAAGGCCAUUGAUGCGGACCUUGGCCAAAGAUGACCGUUGGAAUUCAUGGACCAUAGUCACCUACAAUGUGGUCACUGAAGCGUUCGGGAGAGAAGGAGCUUGAAAAAAUGGAAUAUUUAUUAAGGCUAAUGCAAUCAGAGAGAAUAAAACAGAGAUGCGUUCACCACUGUCAUUUUAUAAGGAUUUAUUAAAUAUAACUGAUUUUGAAGGGUACUUCUCAAAACUUUAUACUAAUCUCAGAUUAGUCUAUAAGUGAUUUAUAAACUGUACAAAUGAUUUAUUAACUUUUAUAAAAUAUUUAUAGAUCUUUAUAAAUUGUUAUGGACUCUUAUAAAAACUUUAUAGCUUCAAAUAAUGCAUCGAUAAGGUAGCCUUUAUGUUCUUAACAACAAAAAAUACAUUAUUUGUCUUCUACCAUGAUGCAAUCAUAUCUCACUUUUUUUAAAAGGGCAACCGCCUCGACACAAAUAGCAACUACAAUAUUAAAUUUUCAAAUUAAUCAAAAUGGCUAGUUAUAAAUGUCCAUAAAUAAAUUACAACAAUAGCGGUUUCAAAUCAGCAAUGGAACUAUUAUGCUCUCUUAUUUGCGAUCAUAUUUUCUAUUUCUACUGCAUUGAUCAAUGGCUUCGUACCGAUAAAAGUUGUUCCAUAUAUAAGAAAAGUCAUCUAUAUUUCAGAAUUAUUACAAUUUAUAAAGGAGUUUCUUAUGUUCCAAUUUUUAGUUUUAUUUACAUACUGUUUUUUUAAUUUUCGUUUUAAUUUUCAAACAAAAUAUUUUCUCAUUUCCUAAUAUGUUCCAUUGUCAGAAUAGGUUUCUUAUCAAAAAUCAAAUAAGAAGAAUAUAUAUAAAAAAAAAUUCAUUAUAUACGUUUAAAUAAAACAUCAAAUUUACUUUAUGUUUAAAUUUUAAUUAAAUUAACUAUGUAACGACUAUCAAUUUUUUACUCUACUUUUAUUGAAUCGAUUAGUCACAACCACUUAUGCUAUUAUACUUUGAAAUAAGCAAUUUCAAAACAAAUUAAUACAUUACGGUCGUUAACCACUGGACCAGAAAAUAUAUAAUUUUCUUUCAACAAAUUUCUGUUUUCAUAUUUUUGAACAUAUUUUCUUUACUAAAACCAUAAAAUGAAUUGUAAAUUCAUGUAAAAAUAAAACACACGAACCCCGGCGCUUACCACUAGUAUAUAUAUAUAUACACUUAAAAAGUCAUUUUUUUAAUUUGUGUGGGUCUAAGCCAAAGUUGGAAUAUUUUUGCUGUGGUUUUGGAUUCACUAGUUGCCUAGUUGCCAACGUUUUUAGUGGCAGAAAACUCAGGCUUUUAUAAAUUUAGUUGAAUUAUUCUGAUUUUGUCCAGAAAAUUUAACUAGAAAAACAAAUUUUGAAGAAAACUGUUUAAUAAUUUUGAUCUGAGAUUUGGGCUACAUAUAUAUUAUGUGCAUAUGUUCUUUUAUUUUUGAAACUUAUGCGCAUGUGUUCUUUAAAAGGUGAAAUCGAUAGCUCUCUUUCUUUAUCUACUUGAGAGUAUAAUUCUUAAUACUAACUAGAAGAGGGUAAAAAUAGUGAUAUGUGUGUUUUUGGGGUAUGCAAUGCAUUUAACUUUGGCUAUCGAGUCCAAAUAAAUAUAUAUAUAUAUAUAUACUAUCUAUUUGGGAAGUCAACAAAAAAUAAUUAACAAAAAUUGUCGUAGAAAUAAAAAAAUUAAGGGGAAUUUGUCAAAUAUAACUCAAAACUUGAUUUUAACCCCCAAAAUAUCACAAACUUGAAUCAAAUGCAAAAGUAACCCAAAAAGUUUGUGAAAUUACAACCAGCCCCCUAUGGUCAAAAAAAAAACCAUAAUUCACUUUUACGAAUAUAAUCUCGUAAAGUCUUCUGAGAUUUUGUAAGUCCUCUAUGGUUCUGUAAGUUUUCUGGAAGUCUUUUCAUAUAGUAGACCUUAAAAAUAAGGGAGAAUUGCCAAGUGUGACUCAAAACUUGGAGUCAAACCCAAAACAAUACCCCAACUUGGGUCAAACGCAAAAGUAACCUAAAAGGCUAUUGAAAUUACAACUAUCCCCUUGUGACCAAACAAAAAAACGGAAUUUUUUUUACGUUUCUACCCCUCGCAAGUCGUCUGUUUAGACGACUUGAAAAUAAGUCGUCCAGACGACUUAACUGAAAGUCGUCUGGACAGUUAGUCUUAAACAUAAUUUAAAAAUUUUGUAAAAAAUAUUUUGAUAAGUGAAAAAUGGGAAUUAUGUAAUUAACAUAUGUCUUAGGAGGUAUAAAUUAAGAUAUAACAAAUUUCAAUUGUUUUCAGCAUAGAUGAGUGAAAGUAGUGAGUCAUGAUAUUCUUUAGUUUAUGUUUCAUCAACAUAUGUUGUAGUAUUGUAUGUGUUCUUAGGGUUAGAUUUUGGAAAGCAUUAAAACCGUUUUUGAAAAUUUUUAAAAUUACUUAUCCGUGUUCAUUUCUGUGUAUAGUAAACACUAUUUAAGUAUAAUUUGAUUUUAUAACGUGGUUAGUUAGUUAAUCUAGUCAUUUUAGUUUAGGGGUUCAUUUUAGGGUCUAGGACGACUUAAUAUUUUGUCGUCUGAAAACAGACGACUAAAUAUUAAGUCGUCUGUUGUACAUUAUCAGCCAGAAUAAGUCGUCUAAACCGGACCAAACCUUAAAGUUUACCAAUGUACUUUUAAAGCUAACCGGAUUAUUUACCCAAUAUAUAAGGUGAUUUUUUUUUUUUUUGUUUCAUUUUUCGCGAAAUUCAGAAACCCUAACAGUUCUCUCUCAAAGGCGAUUUCGAAUUCCCACGAUUUCCGAACAAACCAUCGUUCUCAACGUCGGCUAUCUAUCUCACUUCAUUCUCACCGUUGUCGCCGCAGCUUCUUCUAACCCUAGCGCCGCCGAUUCCUCUAAACCCUAGCGCCGCCGAUUCCUCUAAACCCUAGCGCCGCCGCUUCCACUAUUUCCGAACAAACCGUCGCCCUCGCCACCGUGGUCACCAACGUUCUCACCGCCGCUUCCUCUAAACACUAGCGCCGCCGCUUCUUCUAAACCCUAGCGCCGCCGCUUCUUCUCUGUAAACCUUAGCGCCGUUUCUCUGUAAACCCUAACGCCGCUAAGUCAUCAAUCUCGAGGAAAAGAUGAACAUAAAACGUUGUCUCUAUCAAUUUACUCAUUCUCACCGUUUCACGUUUAUUUUUUCAGAUCUAUAACCGCAAUGACGAGUACUCCAACUCCUUCUGCGACUGGAAGACUUGUAAGUAAUUUAAGUCGUCCGGCUUUGUCUUCCAACUGGACGACUUAGUAGAUGACUUAAAUAUAAGUCGUCCAUUUGGAAGACUUUCCAGACGACUUAAAUUUAAGUCGUCUACUAAGUCGUCUGGACUUAUAUUGUUGUCUUUGAUUAUUUUGCAGACAAAAAGGAUGGAUAUUCCAGAACUCCCCCGUAGGUUAUACACAUCAGGGGAAGAGCCAGAAGCCCACAAUAGCAUUUCGUAUCAUACGGAUAACAGCAAGUUGCAUACUGCUCUUAGGAAAGCUCUUACUGAUGACGAAUUUGAAGAGCUCAAGGAGUCGAGUUUGGGAGUUUUCAUCAAGUUCAAGGAGCAGGGAUUUGGUUGGGCUUCAAGGCUGGUUCACUACAUGCUCAGUUUCAAGCUGGACAUUAAGAAGAAGUAUGAGAUGUGGUCUCUCGUUGGUCCAGAACCUUUGAGGUUUUCACUGUUAGAGUUUGAAAACCUCACUGGUCUAAACUGCGAGUACAUCGAGGACCUUGAGACACCAAAAUGUGACGUUACCCCAGAGAUGGUUUCUUUCUGGGGGAUGCUGGGAGUUCAUCUGGAAGCUGGGCCAACUACUGAUCAGAUAAUAGCAGCACUGAAGAGAUGCGGGGAUUGGUCCAGGGAAGAUCGCAAGCGGCUCGCGUACCUCUCCAUCUUCACUGGAUUCAUUGAAGGGAGAAAGUUUUCAACCGCUACACGAUCUACUCUGGCAAGGCUAGUGAUGGAUUUAGAACGGUUUGAGAAUUAUCCAUGGGGGAGAGUCGCGUUUAAGGUGCUGAUGGACUCUUUGUGGAACAAAGAAAUUGCUGGCUGUUACACCGUGGAUGGGUUUAUACAAGUUCUUCAAGUCUGGACGUACACAGCUAUGCCGGAAUUGGGUGCUAGUAUUGGUGGUCCCAGAGCAGACAGUCCGUCUCCACCGAUACUGGCUUACGAGGGCAGCAGAGGCCGCAGAUCAAUGAAAGCUGCUAUCUUGAGUCAGGUAUUUACUUCAAUCCAAAAGACUGCGCAGACGACUUAUUAUAAGUCGUCUGGAAGGUCGUCCAGCUUGACGACUUAUUAGACGACUUAUAAUAAGUCGUCUGGAAAGUCUUCCCAGCUGGACGACUUAUCGGACGACUUAAUUAAGUCGUCUGGAAAGUCUUCCAUCUGGACGACUUAUUAGACGACUUAUAAUAAGUCGUCUGGAAAGUCUUCCCAGCUGGACGACUUAUCGGACGACUUAAUUAAGUCGUCUGGAAAGUCUUCCAUCUGGACGACUUAUUAGACGACUUAUUAUAAGUCGUCUGGAAGGUCUUCCAUCUGGACGACUUAUUAGACGACUUAUAAUAAGGCGUCUGGAAAGUCUUCCCAGCUGGACGACUUAUCGGACGACUUAAUUAAGUCGUCUGGAAAGUCUUCCAUCUGGACGACUUAUUAGACGACUUAUUAUAAGUCGUCUGGAAGGUCUUCCAGCUGGACGACUUAGUAGACGACUUAUAAUUAAGUCGUCUAUUUAGUAUUUUUUUUCAAAUAUCUAACUCGAUUCUUCUAUUUACUGCAGACCCGCGUGAUCAACUUUGUUGAGAAGGACAUUAGUGAAAUGUGGCCAAAAUGGGACUCUGAGGUUGAGGACCUGCCCGCGGAGAACAUCAUUAAAGUCAUGUAUGAGCGGAGACCGUGGAAGUGGACCAUGGAUUGCUGGGAAGUCACUGGUACUAAGGUCAAUACAAAACCUAAGGUUGUGACUCCAUCGAAGAAGGCCAAAGAGAUGGUUGUGGUGUAGGAGGAGGAGGAGGAGGAGGAAGACAAUCCAAGACCUCGGAAGAAAGCUCGUAAAGAGGCUCCUAAAGAGGCUAGUGAAGAGGCUAGAGAAGAGGCUAGAGGGGUGACCAGAGAGGAGUUGGAAAUUAUGUUCAAGGGCGUAGCUGACUGCAUGAAAAAAGGGUUUAAUAAGUGCAUGAGGGAGUUUAGGAAGUUGUCCGAUAGAUUGGAAGCUGUGGAGAAGAAGGUUGGUGUCACCAAUCAGGCUACCCCUCCACCUCUAACCAAUCAGGCUACCCCUCAAGAUAAACAGCCUACCCCUCUUGCCAAAGAAACCGGGGGUAGAAACAAACAGGCUACCCCUCAUGCCAAUGAAACCGUGGUUAGUAACCAGCCUCCUCCUCAUCAAACCAAACAGCAGCCUCCUCCUCCUCAAAAGAAACAGCAGCAGCCUCCUCCUCCUCAAAAGAAACAGCCUCCUCCUCAAAAGAAACAGCCUCCUCAAAUCAAAGAGGUUAGUAUCAAAUCCAGGGUUAACUAGUUGUCCAGACGACUGUAAAAGUUGUCUGGACGACUAGUUGACCCUGGACGACUUAAACGUAAGUUGUCUGGACGACUAGUUGACCACGGAAGACUUAAUUUUAAGUCGUCCAGGGUCAACUAGUCGUCCAGACAACUUUUAUUUAAGUCGUCCAGGGUUAACUUGUGUGCAACUUUUAUUGCAGAGAUGGUUGCCGGAGGAUACAGCAACCGAGGCGAACUCGGUAAAUAAGAUCUUGCCGGAGGAUAAAGCAGAUGGUGUCACCUCCAAAGAGAUUGUUGCUGUCACUUCCACCGAUCACCAACCGAGCCUCGCUUCCACCGAUCAACAACCGAGCCUCGCUUCCACCGAGCCAAGCGAUCCAGUUUCAGAACCGAGCCUGGUUGUAUUGGACAAGCGUGCAAAGAGUAAACGAGCGAAGAAACCUGCUCCCACUGUGAGAUCUCCUUAUACGGCAGAGAAAAAAAAAGAUAAAGUGGCAGCCUAUAAUCCAUUUCCGCCAGUAAACAAAGAUAAGUUGAAGGAACUCGCUGAUUGGUUGAAAACUGAUCCGUAAGUGAUUGCUUUACCCAUAAUAGCUUGAUUUAGUCGUCCAAAACUGAUUGCUUUUUUGUUUGCAGUCAUUAUUUAACUAAGACCGAGGACAAACCACGUACAUCACCAACAAGGUGGUACCACUUCCUCCGGACAGCCAGAGGAUGGCUGGAAGACUGCGUAAGUCUUCUGCACACGAUUUAAGUCGUCUACAAAGUCGUCCAAGUAGACUACUUUCCAGACGACUUAAAGAUAAAUCGUCUGGAAAGUCGUCUACUUGGACGACCACGUAGACGACUUAAAUAUAAGUCGUCUUCGUCUGGUAACUUCUAACUUGUUAUAUUUAAUAUGCAGCAUAUAGAUGCUUGGAUUAAUGUGCUAAGGCAGAGGUAUCAGGAGAACCCACAAGCUUUCAGGAGCGAGCGAAUGUGCUUCCUGGAUCACAACUUUUCUCAGUCUUGGAGAGAGCAGUAUCAGCUCUUCAAAACAUCGGAACCUGAUCACAAAGGUUUAGGAAGAGUUCUACCUGGUGGGGCGUCGUAUUUUUAUGACGGAUCAAUACCUUCAUUUUGCCAAUCAAACAAGAAGUGGGGGGAGGACAUUGAUGAUAUCUAUGCGCCAGUGAACUUGGACGACAAGCAUUGGGUUGCUAUUUGGAUAUCGAUCCCUAAGAGGCACAUAGUCGUCUGGGACAGCAUACCUUCAUCUAGUGUACCAGACGCAUGGGAUGCGAUAAUGGAGCCUUUUCUCCAGAUGGUCCCUUAUCUGCUUGUUGAGUGCGCAGCCACCGACGAAAUGCGGGUCAAAUACGGGUUGGAGCCAUACACAUAUGAGAGACCUCUGAAAGGUGUACCCACGGCCAACAAUGGUGAUUGUGGCGUGUACACUGUAAAGUACAUUGAAUGUCAUGCGCUCGGGGGCUCCUUUGACCCUAAAGACUUUGCUAGGUGCAACGCGAAGAAAAUGAGGGAUAAUAUGGCGGUGGAUAUAUGGAAGGAGCUUGUUGAUCAGCAUCUGAAAGAAAAUGUGGAUGGUGAUAAGUUCGUGGGCAUGUAUGAUUAGAUUUGUAUUUGAACAUGAUUUUUUAACAUGAGUUUUGUAUUUGAACAUGAUUUUUUAACAUGAUUUUUGUAUUUGAACAUGAUUUUUUAACAUGAUUUUUGUAUUUGAACAUGAUUUUUUAACAUGAUUUUUGUAUUUGAACAUGAUAUAAGUUGUCUGGAAGAAAUAAGUCGUCUGGAAGGUUUUCCAACUGGACGACUUACAAAUAAGUCGUCUAGAAGGUUUGGACGACUUAUUAUAAGUCGUCUGGAAGGUUUUCCAACUGGACGACUUACAAAUAAGUCGUCUAGAAGGUUUGGACGACUUGAAGGGAUAGUAGAAGGUCGUCUAAAAAUAAAAUACACUUGAAGGGAUAGUAGAAGGUCGUCUAAAAAUAAAAUACACUGGACGACUUAGUAGAAGGUCGUCUAAAAAUAAAAUACACUUGAAGGGAUAGUAGAAGGUCGUCUAAAAAUAAAAUACACUGGACGACUUAGUAGAAGGUCGUCUAAAAAUAAAAUACACUGGACGACUAAAAAUUUAGUCGUCUGGACGGGUAAUCAAGACUGGACGACUUAAAUUUAGGUCGUCUGGACAACUAGUCAACUGGUUGUGUACAUUGUGGUUUCGUAUGGCCAGUUUCCUUGCAGUUUGAGCAUCUCCGUGCCCUGUGUUUCUUCCUGGGUUUGUGUCCUCUCAUCCUAGAUAGCUCCAACCAAGAUUGCCAUCUUGAUUUCUUCGGUCUCCCCCGACCACGCUUUAGUUCUGGAGGAAAGCAUUCUCGUUCCUCAAUAUGUUGUGACACGAUAGGAUAUAUAUUCUCUGAGUAUCCUGCAUACAGAUAAUUCUUUGAGUACAGUGGACAUACAAGUGUGGAGAUAUGCAAACCAGCAUGUAUUCCAGCAGCUAUAGCAUGAGAGCAAGGUAUUUUCUCCACUCCAUAGACACCACAAUCACACUUUGCAUGUUCCAAAUCAACCACACAGUCCAUUUUGCCACCUUUGACAAAGAAAUGCCAUCCAUCAAUUGGUUCAACCGUCAUCGUACCCGCUAUCUCUUCUCGAACAGCAAGCAAGUAUUCAACACCCCCGCUAUGUUCAGUUGUGAGACUCAAAGCAUCUUGUCUCCUUUUCCAAUACCAUUUUCCUAACUUCUGCCUUAUGAACUCCAGCAGGAACGUAAUCGGAAAUCCUCUUGCUCGCUUCAGUGCGGAAUUAAUAGAUUCAGCAAUGUUGCUUGUUUUUAUGUUGAACCUGUUCCCCUUACAAUAAACCCUUGACCAUAGCCUGACGUCGGCUUUCUCCAAAUACGUUGCAAGUUCCGGGUUUGCACUCCGUAUCUCAGCCAUGUACCGGUCAAAAUCGUAAACCGUGUGAGCAUAAGCAGCCCCUUUCACCAAGUACAUGAGAUGUUUCCCUUUAAACUUUUUGACAAUGUUAUCUUGAAGGUGAUAAUAACAUAUUCCUCGGGUUGCCCAAGGAAACACCUUAUCACACGCACUUUUAAUGGCCUUGUGCCGGUCGGAGACUAUCACCAGAGGCUUGUCAUGAGAUAUACAACUAGCCAAUUUUGUGAAAAACCAUUCCCAAGAAGGUAUAUCUUCCUCAUCCACGAUCCCAAAAGCCAAUGGGAAUAUCUGAAAAUUGCCAUCUUGUGCGGCUGCAACUAACAUAGUUCCUCCAUACUUUCCACUUAGGUGAGUUCCAUCCACCACAAUGACCCUUCUCUGAUACUUAAAACCUUUGAUAGAAGCUCCAAAAGAGAGAAAUAGAUACUUAAAUCUUUUCAUAGAAUCAAGUUCUAUCGCCGUGAUAGAAUCAGGAUUUGCAAUGGAGAUUUGCUCGAGAUAUGAUGCCAGACGCGAAUACCCUUCUUCUGCUGAUCCUCUCACCAAUCUUUGUGCAUAUAACAGUGCUCUGUAUGAAGUGGUGUAAUCAAGCGCCAUGCCAAACAUGUUCCUCAUUGCAUCAGUGAUAUGCUGCGGAGUUAUCCCAUCAAUGAUUCCAACACGAUCAAUGAAAAGACUACCUACAUACUUCGGAGUACAGUGUCUCCGCUGAGCGAUUCGGUCUCCCGCUGAGCAUAAAUGUUUUUCCACAUACUUUGUUACCCAAAACGUGUUUGUCCCAUGUUUGACACUCGCUCUGACCUUCCAUCCACAAUAGCUAACCGGACAUGUUGCCACAACGAGAGUUUUCGUUGAUUUGUAUAAUCUGAAAGAAAACUUACCCCUCACUGCUGCCAACCGCAGCUCUGAAAGCAGUGCACCCUUGCUAACAAAACUCUGGUUGACAUAGAUACUGGUACCAUUCGAUUUUCCUCCUUCAAUAGCAUUUGUCUUAGCAUAUGUCUUUUGGAUUUCUUCAAAACAAAUAUUAUCAUCAUCUUCCUCGUCCUCAUCUGGAACCUUUCCAUAAAGACUGUAAUCCCCACCAUUCUGAUCCGUUUCACCAACAAUAGAAUUAUCAGCAUCCUCCUCCCCAUUUUCCUCCUCCCCAUCUUGAUUUUCAUCUUCAACAAACUCAUUAUCACCAACAUCUUCAAAACAUUCAUCAGCUUCAUCAUCAUCACCAACAUCUUCUUCCCAUUCACCAGCUUCAUCAUCAUCACCAACAUCUUCUUCCCAUUCACCAGCUUCAUCAUUAUCACCAACAUCUUUUUCCCAUUCACCAGCUUCAUCAAUAUCCCUUUUCUCUGAAACCGUUUCGACCUUGCUGCGGCUUGAUACACAAAGACAUACUCUAUGGGUUUUGAGUAUCUCCAGCAAGUUUCGAACUUGUCUAUCACUUGUAACAUGAAUGGGAAGACUGCCUGGAGCCAUCAUCAUUUCUGCUGGUAAUGAGUAGCUAAUCUCCACACUCACUGUUCUCAUGUCCAGGUUAUAAUCUUCUUGAGCCAUUGCAACAAGUUCAGCAUGUGUUGAAUCUUCAUUCAAUAAAAACAAUCUUGCUCCUUUGAGAUCAUCAACCACAAAAUCCCAACGGAAAUCUCUCAACAACCAUUCUCCAUACACUGCAUGUAACUGAAAAAUCAUCUGCAAAUAUUCAAAAUAAAACACAUUAGUAAACAUAGAGAAAAUGAAGAAGUUCAAUAAACAUUGCCGCAGACGACUUAGCAUUAAGUCGUCCAGAAGACUUAAAGGUAAGUCGUCUAAAGAGGUCACUUUUGCAAUUGAAAAUUAAAAGGGACGACUUAAUUCUAAGUCGUCCGGCUUUGUUUGUUAAAAAAAAAACUUCAGACGACUUAUAUAUAAGUCGUCUACGAGAAACGGGCUAGUUUUGCAUUUGACCGAAUCGUGUCAGAUCUUUGACUAUUUCUGGACGACUUAUAAUUCAGUCGUCUCUGGGAAAGUUAAAAUUUCAAUAUUUUAUGAAAACUUGACGACUUACGUGUAAGUCGUCCUAGGUUAGUUUUGUAAUUGAAAAAUAAAACUUGAAAUUUAACUUUCUCCAGACGACUUAGAUGAAAGUCGUCCAGCUAAACGACUUAAUUUAAGGUCGUCCGGGAUAAGCAAGGUUUGACCAGAAAAUUGGGAAAAAUUCUGGACGACUUCGCUUUCCCCGGACGACUUUAAAUUAAGUCUUCUGGAGGGACGACUUUAUAUUAAGUCGUCUGGUUAAAGUUAAAUUAUGAAGUUUUAUUUUUCAAUUACAAAACUAACCUAGGACGACUUACACGUAAGUCGUCAAGUUUUCAUAAAAUAUUGAAAUUUUAACUUUCCCAGAGACGACUGAAUUAUAAGUCGUCCAGAAAUAGUCAAAGAUCUGACACGAUUCGGUCAAAUGCAAAACUAGCCCGUUUCUCGUAGACGACGUAUAUAUAAGUCGUCUGGAGUGUUUUUUUUUAACAAACAAAGCUGGACGACUUAAUUUAAGUCGUCCGUUUGACCAGAAGACUCAUCAGUAAGUCUUCUACAUACAGAUGACUUACUAGUAAGUCUUCUACGCGAACAGAUCUUGAAAAAAAAUUCAAAUUCGUACCUUAAACUAGGUGAGAUGACUUUGUUUGCACACAAGGUCUUCUCCAACCACCCAGAACCUCAAACGAAAGCAACCGUAAGUCAAAACGAAAGAAAUAUGGCUCUGUCAACCAUAGCCCAUAUUUUGAAUCAAAAGCUUGAGUUUUUUGGAUGAAUAUAGAGAGAAAGUGAAAGAAAUGUUGUUUUUAGUUCAUAACAAUUGAAACAGAGAGAGUGUAAAGAGAUUUACGUGCAUUAAAGGGCAAUAAAAGCUCCAAACAGUUCGUACAAGGUUGUUGCCACUAUUCAUUGCAGUGGCAAUAUUGUAAAUACUUGAAGAAGAUGAGGUUGAGACAGUAAAGAAGCCAUUUUUGAAAAAAAAAAAAAAAAAUGUUAAUGGCAUUUUCGUAGAUAAAAUGCAGGUGUGGGGUUAAAAUCUCAAAAAAAAAAGGAGUCAAAAGAAAAGGUUAGUUUUCUGUUUGACUCCAAGUUUUGAGUCACUUUUGCAAAAAGCCCUAAAAAUAAUUUAUAAAUUUUGUAAAAACUAUUUUGUUAGAGAAAAAAUUGAAAUCAUGUAACUAUAAACAUUUGUAAGUGAUAUAAACUAAAAUAUAAUAAAAUUGAAUUGUUUUUAAUAUAGAUGAGUGAAAAUAGUGAGUCAUGAUAUUCUUUGGUUUAAGGUUUGACAACAUAUGUUGUAGUAUUGUAUGUAUUCUUAGAGUUAGAUUUUGGAAACUUAAUAUUUUUUGGAAAAAUUAAAUUUUGACAUAUACAUAUUUAGUUUUUAUAUAUUAAAUAUUUUUUAAAUUUAAUGAAAUGUUUGUUUCUAUUUAAUUAGUUAUUUGAGUUUAAGAUUUAUAUUUAGUGUCUAGACGACUUCCACAAAGUCUUCUCUGAAAAUCUUAUAACUCCCGCUAAAAAUAUUUUACUUUCCCGCUAAAAAUAUUUUAGUUUCUAGAAGACUUAAUUGAAAUUCUUCUAGGAAGUUUUCUAUUAGAAGACUUAAAUCGAAAAAAAUUAACCUUAUUAGAAUUUUUGUCUCCCUUUAUAAAGAAAAUUUACACAUUCUCUAUUUUCCUCUCAAAAGACUGCAACAAAAAUGUUAUGUUUCUUAUUCUAAAACUUUCAAACCUCUCUCUAAUCUCUUUGAACUUAAAAAUACCAAACUUUAUAUCAAUUUAUAGUUAUUUCAUGUUUCUUAUUGAUUUAUUUUGUUUUUGCAGAUUUUUCAUUUCAUGGUUCUUAUCUUCCACUCUUUUAAGGGUAGAUCUAUAAAUCUUAUUUUUCUUAUUUGGUAACCUAUUGUUGCUUAAAGAUUUUACCUUUUGAAAACUCUUUUGGUUAUUUUAAAUUCGUACUUUAUUUUUGAAGUUUUUCUAUGUUUUGAACUUUUGGAUAUGCAGGUUUUUUCAGAGCUGAGACAGACAUGGAAGACUUCCAUGGAAGACUUCCAGGGAAGACUUCUCGGAAGUCUUCUACCAUUUAAUGCACUAGAAGAUUUCCUGGAAGUCUUCUGGCGGAAUCUUCUCCCAUGUCUCCUCGUUCAUUUCAGAUAUGAGUGUUUUGGUAAGUAUAUAUGUCUAGAUUUUUCUUCAUUUGGUAACCUCUGGUUGCUUAAACCUUUUAUAUUUUUUACAAUUUAUCAUUUUUUUUGUAAACACCAAACUUUAUAUCAAUUUAUCAUUUUUUGUCUCAUGUCAUUCUCACUAAUUCAUCUUGUUUUGUAGAUUUUUCAUUACAUGGUUCUCAUCUUCCACUCCGUUAAAGGUAAAUCUAUAAAUCAUAUUUUCUUAUUUGGUAAUCUCUUGUUGAUUAAAGCUCUUUCUUUUUGAAAAUUCUUUUGGUUGUUUCAAGCUUUUACCUUAUUUUUGAAGUUUUUAUAUGUUUUGAAGACAUUUGAAUGGUUUUGGAUAUGCAUGUUUUUUAGAUCUAAGACAUAUUUCCUUAAAAAAUCUUCCAAGUCUUCUCGGAAAUCUUCUAACAUUUAAUGUACUAGACGACUUCCUGCAAGUCUUCUGGAAGUCUUCUGACAAAGUUUUCUCCCAUAUCAAGUGGAGUCUAAGCUUGUCUUUGUGGAGGAAUGGGAUAUAAUAGUUUUAUUUAUGGUAUGUUUUGUAAUUUGUAUGUAUACUCUUUUAGUUGUGAAUUCUUUUGUAAAUUUGAAAAAAAUAUUAACAAUUUUUUUGGUAAAUAUGUUCAUGUCUACAAUAUUAUCUUGCCAAAAAUACUUGCAUUAUUAAAGUUAUUUAUACAACUUCAAUAGCAAAACACAAUAAUACAAAAAAAUUAGUCAAAUUUAUUACAACUAAUGGAGAAAACUUCUCAAGAAAACUUAGUCAAAUUCACAAAAGAUCAAACAUUACAUUAGUUCAAACAUAUAACAGUUUCACUAGAAGUCUUGUGGGAAGUCUUCGGGAAGAUUUCUUCUCAGAAAAAAUUUCGGAAGACUUAAAUUUCAAGCAGAAAAUUUAAAUAUAAGCGGGAAAUUUAAGCGGAAAAUUAAAAUUUAAGCGGGAAACUCAAAUUUUAAGUGAAAAUUAAAAUUUCAAAUUUCAUGAAAGUUAAAAAAUAUAUCUUAUGAUCUAAGAAGACACAUCAAACCAUAUGACUUGAUAUUCUUAAAGUUAUUUAACACUUUUGAAAAUUAAAAAAUAUAUAUAUCUUAAAGUUGAAAAUACAAGUUUUACAACAACUAAUGUAGAAAACUUAUGGGAAAGUCUUCUCUCAUUAGGUAGAAACAUUAAGAAGCAUGACUGUUGUUAACUUCAUAAUUAUCACCAAUUAAGUUAUGAAUUUCAUUCAUGAGCCCAAUACAUUAAUUAACAAGAAAAUGUUAAAAAGUCUUUAUAGUUUUAGAGAAAAUAAAAUUUUAUUAAACGUUGACGUAGACGACUUCCACGGAAGUCGUCCGGAAGACUUACACGGAAAUCUUCUGGUCAAUGCGUAGGUUAGUUUUGCAAUUGACUUUAUGUGUCAGAAAUUUGACUUUUCCUAGACGACUUACGGAUAAACAUGUUAGUUUUGCAUUUGACCGUACUGUGUCAGAAAUUUGAUUUUUCCUAAACGGCUUACACGAAAGUCGUCCAAAAGAAAAGUAAAAUUUAAAUAUUUAUAUUUUUCUAGACGACUUCCAUGUAAACCGUUUCAGGUUACUUUUGCAAUUGAAAAAUAAAACUUAAAUAUUUUAUUUUAUCCGGACGACUUCCAUCACAGAAGUCUUCUGACAAACGACUCACACAUAAGUCUUCUGUAAUAACCAAGGUUUGACUAAAAUCUCGGAAUAAAAUCCUGGAAGACUUCCAUGUAAGUCUUCCGACAGACGACUUACAUAGAAGUCUUCUGUAAUAACCAAGGUUUGACUAGAAUAUCGAAAUAAAAUCCUGUAAGACUUUCGUGUAAGUCGUCUACCGGAAGACUUAUAUGGAAAUCAUCUGGAUAAAAUUAAAUAUUUAAGUUUUAAUUUUCAAUUGAAAAAGUAACCUGAAACGACUUAUUUGGAAGGUGUCUAGUAAAAGUUAAAUAUUUAAUUUUUAUUUUUCUGUUGGACGACUUCCGUGUAAGUUGUCUAGGAAAAGUCAAAUUUCUGACACAAUCCGGUCAAAUCCAAAACUGACAUGUUUAUCCUAGACGAUUUACCGGGAAGUCUUCUUUAAUUUUUUUGAAAACAAAGAAAACCGGAAGACUUCCAGAUAAGUCGUCUAGAAAAGAUACACAUAAAGUCAAUUGUGAAACUAACAUAUGCAUUGACCAGAGCAAAACUAACACAUGCAUUGACCAGAAGACUUCCGUGUAAGUCUUCUCGUCGGAGAAGACUUACACGUAAGUCUUCUGACAGACAGAUCUGGAAAAAAAAUUGAUUUCAUAACUUUAACCAGUGAGAUAACUUGUUUAGCUUCUCCAACCACACAAUACUUCACCACCAAAGCAACCUACUUGACCACGAAUCAUGAGCUUGAAUGGUUCGAAGAACCUUAAUAAUUUUAGAAUCAAAAUCUUGGGUUUUAUUAGAUGAAUAUAGAGAGAAAGUGAAACAGAUGUUUUUUUUAGUUCAUAAGAAAUAAGAUAAAGGAGUAAUCGAUUUUUAGGUGCAUUAAAAGCUUCAAAUUGGUUGUUCAUGGUGGUUGGUGUAUUGAUGGCAAUGACAAUAUUGUAAAUACUUGAAGAAGAUGGAGAUGAGAGAGUAAAACACUUAUUUUCGAAAAGAAAAAAAUAAUAAUAGCAUUUUCGUAAAUAAUCCGAACUUUUGGAGUGAAUAAGGCAAAUGAAAGUUCCAAAAAAACGUGGAUUAGUUUUGUGUUUGACUUCGAGUUUUGAGCCAUAUUUGCAAAAAUUAAAAUGAAAAAUUUGGAGUAACUAUUUAUUAAUAUAUAGAAAUAUAAAAGGUAUAGUAAAAAGUUAAAAUGUUAAAAUUAAAUUGAUAUCUAUAUUAACUCACUAAAAGUUUACAUCAAUAGAUUUUUACAGAAAAAGUUCACAAGUUUAUUUUUAGAAUAUAGUCUACAUGUUAUUGAGAAUGUUCAAGUAAACUUGUAAAAUAUAAAAACAAAUAUGGAAAAUUAAUGUCAUAAUUUAUUUAUUUUUAAAAUAUCAAUAUUUUUCAUAGAAGCAAAAUAUUUUCUUAAAUGUGAAAUAUUCAGUCAACAUAAAAAUAUUUAAUGUAUUAAAAAUACAAAAAAAAAUUAUUAAUAUAUAUAAAUUUAAAAGGUAUAGUAAAAACUAAAAACAAAUGUUAAAUUAAUUUGCUAUCAAUAUUAAUUUACAGGAAAAUUAGCAUCGAUAUAUUUUAACAGAAAAAAAGUUCACAAGUUUAUUUUACGAUAUAGACUAUAUGUUAUUGAGAAUGUUCACAUAGACUUUAAAAAUAUCAACAAAAUAUGAAAAUAACCAUUAUAAUUUAUUUCUUUUUAAAAUAUCGAGGGUUUUCAAAAAUAAAAAAAAUAUUACUAUGAAAUAAAAUGAACAUAAACAUCAAAUAUUGUAAACAAACAAAGAGAAAGUUAUCAAAAAUGAAUUAACUUGAUGUAGAUUUUUAUUCUGUAGAAGAGUAACAUUAAAAGAUAUUAAUAAAAACAUAAUAUAUCAUAUAUACCAAAAUAAAAUAGAUAACUAAUCUAUCAAAAUUAACCUAAUAAAAAAAUUAAAAGAAAAUUAAGAUGAAUUUUUGUAUGGGAACUUUUCUUAUUUCAAAAUUUUUGGUAUCAAUUUAAGUAAUAAUCUAAAUUUGGCAUCGUACUGAGUUGUUAAAUGCCAAUGAGUCUGAGAUGGUUGCAGUUAAAGAGAGGUUGCGGGAAAAUGUGGAAGAUGUCAGUUUCUGGAGAAGAAGCUCGGGUUUUAACGAUAAGUUUUCUACCCAGGAGACUGGUUUUUAACUCGUACCUCUGAUGCUCAUAUUGAUUGGGUACAAGCUGUUUGGUUCUUGCAGAUUACACCCAAGUAUGCUUUUAUUACAUGGUUAGCCAUGUUGGAUAGGCUAAGUACUAUGGACAGGGUUGCGAGAUGGAAUAGUGGUGUUGAUGUUACUUGUGCUCUUUGUAAGAAUGCUGCAGAGUCUCGUAGUCAUCUGUUCUUCGAGUGCUCUUACUCUUCUCAGAUAUGGGAGCAUCUUAUGCUUGGCAUCCUUAGGGGUUCGUAUACAAUUGACUGGAAUGCAAUUGUGGCUUUUCUUAAACAGUCUGAUAGAGAUAAGAAGAGAUCCUUUUGUUUGAGAUAUGGCUUUUAAACCAUCAUCUAUGUGAUAUGGCGUGAAAGGAAUAAGAUUAAGCACGGAGAAAGUCCAUUGCCUAUGAAUGCAGUGAAGAAGCUUAUUGAUAAGAGAGUUAGGAACAAGUUAAGCCUACUGAGAUCAAGAGGAGGUAAGGGUAUGGAAUCUGCCCUUCAAUAUUGGUUUAGCACAAGGACAUGAGGUUUGGAGGUUUGGGAAUACUUUGGAGGUUUGGGAGGGUUUGAAGUUAUUGAGUUUAAAGAUAGGAUUUCCUUUGUUAAGGUCUACACUCUGAUGUAAAAAAACUUUUUUGAUGAAUAAAAUUUAACAUUCAUUCAAAAAAAAAAAAUCUAAAUCUAUAUAUAUAAAAAAAUAUUUUCCUCCCUCCUAUUGCGCCACGUCAUAAAGUCAUUGAUUGUGAGUGCGACACCUGUCUUCUUUGCCUAAAACUCAUCGUUUCAUUAACUUAUGAUGUGGGCUGCUGCGUUUCAUAAUUGUUUACGAUUUAGUGGGCUUUUUGUUCACACCGUGAUAUAGCCCAAAUACAGAGAGAUAGCCACUAUAAUGAAAACAUAUGUAAAGACUGAAACUUUUGAAACGAGAAGGAAAAGAAGGAGUGUACCGUGAGUUUCUGGAUGCUACUGACUUCGCCUUGGUUGGAGGCGAUAUCAACGGUGACGGUUCAUUUCGCUGCCACCUCUGGUAACUCAAUAACAUUCAAGAUUUUAAAAUUAUUGGCGAUGGGUUUUGCAGAGUAUGAAGAGGCAGAGGGAAGAGGAUGAUGAGCAACAACAGUGAAGAGGUUAAAAAAGAAAAUUGAACCAAUUAAUAAAAAUAUUCCACAGUUUAAGCGGCGAGUAAAUCAGAUCGGUUUCUCAAUUCCGCUAUGACUCGAUCAAGAGAGAAAUAUAGUUUUUUCCAAAGAAACAUAGAUAUUAUCAAAGCAAAGAUUGCUCCGAACGAAUCAUAAGAAGAUAAGGAAGCAAUCAAAGGUUUUUAUUUCAUUUUUUAAUUAGUUAUUUGGAGUUAACAUGAAUGGAAGUGCCAUACACGCGCAGAGACAUGCGUGUUGGUGGGAUAUGAGAUACAUAUUUUAAACUUAAAAGGGAAAAAGACAGGAAGCAAUGCGUUCUAUGCACAUUGGGUCUUUUCUUUUGAGCCUUUUGUUUCAAAUAAAAACGACAGGACAUAACCGGAUUUACUUCGGUUUAAUUUAGAUUCGAUUCAACUUAAAUGCAUGCAUGAUUUUAAGCUACACAAGUUUUAUUCAAUAAAUAAACCAACAGAAAAUUUUAUUGUAAGAAAUUGGGUUAAUUGGAAUUCAUAAGGCAGAAAACAAUAAAUAAUUAAAAAUAAUUUUAUAAUUAUCUAGCUACUUAUAUUUAUAUAAUAUUUAUAUAUCAAAAUAGCAUAAAUAUACGAUUAUAAUUAAUAUUUAAAUAAAAAAUCCGGGCGUAAUUAACCCGGGCCGACCCUAGUUUAUAAUAUAUUUCAAAGUAUCUAAAAUAAACUAAAACGACUGAUGAUUUUAGUUCUUUUCUUUCUACCGAUCCACUUCAUUCUUUAGCUUUCAAUGAGUUUACAAAACUUUUGUUGAAAAACCACAGAUAAGAACAAUAUUGAGACACAUAUUGUUAAAAAGAUAGUUUAUCAAUGAGUUUAAGCUGUUUUUUAUCAAUCAAAAGGAAUUUAUAAAGUUGUUUUUAAUAGUCAACACUAUUAUAUUAUGUUUUGAGACAAUCAAAACCUUCAAACAAAUCAAAUAGGGUAUUAUGAAGUAAACUUAAAGAUGGGUGUACUCUAUACUUUAUUUUUUUAAAUUACAUCAUUAACAAUACAGCAAAUUACAUGUUAACUUCUUAUAAACAUAUAAUCCGAGUAACCAAUAAAAAGUAUAAAAUGAAUGCUUAUGUCAAUUUUAGUGAAGAAACCCGUACAAUAUAUAAAAUUAAAGAUGGUCUCAGACGAGUUUGUCAAACAAAUAUAUUUAGAGGAUAAUAUUUAUAAGAUAGGUGAAAAAUAAUCAAAAUAAACUUUCUAAAUAAGUUUCUAAAAUUACAGAAAGUAAAUAUAGACUCCACAAAAACAUAAGAGAGUGAUAUAAAAAUAGUCAAUAUACUAACAACAAAGUAAAAACAGUGAAAUUUUACAAAAUUCUAUAAAAAGUUCAAAAUUAAAAUAAUUAUGCCAUGUAAGAAAGGGCCCCUGUAAGAAAUCUACUAAAACUUUACUCUAAAUUACCAGAUGAAAGCAAUUGUCAGGAUUCAAAAAGUCUUAAGAAGCUUCAUGUAUUAUAAAAAUAUUUACAAUAGUAUUCUAGUUAAAUAAAGCUAUGUAUUAAAACAUUUAUCUUAAAUAUUUAUAAUCUUUAUCAUAAAUCUUUACAAUAUCUGUAAAUCUUAAUUUAAAAUUAAUUAAACAAUAAAAUUUCAACUAAAAUAUGUGCAAAAAAAUAUAAAAGAUCACACAUUUAUUGUAUAACUCUCAUAAGUAAAAAAGUAAAAUAAAUAAUAUGCAUAUAAAUUAAUCGUUUAUAAAAUAAGUAAAAAUUAUAAAAAAAAAUAUUUGCAAUAGUAUAGUAGCGGUUUAUAUGCAUUGAGUAAUUUAUACAGUAUUUAAAAAAUGGCAAUUCUCUCAAAUAGACUUUUUUAAGUUUUUAUCACAAAAAUAGCCCUCAAAAAAUAAAAUGACCAAAAUAACCUUUUUAUUUUGAAAAUUUUAAUAUUUUUUUUAUUUUUAAAAAUUUGAAUCUAUCCCCAAAGCCCAACCCCUUAACUCUAAACCCUAAGUCUUAGAUUAGUUAACUCUAAGGGUAUAAAUGCAUAUUUACCUUUCAAUAAAAUUUCUUUUGGUCAUUUUCUUUCUUGGAAGUCUAUUUUUGUGAAAAUAAACUAAAAAGGGCUAUCUAAGAGAAUUUCUCUUUAAAAAAUAAAAUUUUAUAUAAUAAAUAUAAAAAUGAUUAUAAAUAAAAUUUUAGUUUUAAAAAUACAGACAAAUAUAUACUAAAUAGUAAUUAUUUUCAAGAGUAUAAUUUUAUAAACAAAAUAAACGUAACUAGUAAAUUAUUAUAUUAUAUUUUAAAUAAAUUUUCCAAGAAAUAAAAUUUAUAUAAAUAAAAAUUUAUAAAUCAGUUCUAGUUGAAAACUUUUUUUAAAAAAAUUUAAACAAAAUUAUUAAUACAGAUUCGUGCGUAGCGAACAUAAAAUAUAGUUCACAUAAAAAGAUUAUGUGAUAGGAAAUUAUCGCUCAAGAUUGGUCCCAAGCAUAGGCUAUUGAAACACUGGCUUAUAAUUUCCAAAAUAUUAGGAAAAAUUUACAUAUAUAUAGAUCUUUAAAUUUGCAAAAAAAAAGAUUAUGUAAUUUUUUUUUAAAUUAACUACAACCUCUAAAAUUUCAGGUAUGCACUACUAUGAUAACAUAAAAGAAAGUUAGAAACAACAAUGAAAUACGUCAUUUCUUGCGGCCCUUUUACAAACAAAACAAAGCCAUCCCGUAAGGCACGCAUGAGCCACUUGCGGCCCUUUUUACACACAAACAAAACCAUCCCACAAGGCACGCAUGAGUCAUUAGCAAUGAACAAUAGUGCCAUCGUAAAAAAAAACAGUAGCAAAAUCGAUAAAAUAGGAAAGUUCAAAAUAUAGUUGUACUUGUGAUUUGCACCAGAAGUUUCAAUGGUUUUUCUCAUAGUGCCUUAUGUAAAGAACAGUUUUUAUAAGUAAUACCUAGUACGUACUGUAUAUAUAUGUAUUAAGCACAGCAAAGUUAUCACCGGUUCUAAACUUUUUCUUCGGUUCUAAUAUUCUCCCUCUGAACGAAACUAAUAUCCAAACAUGCAAAGAAUCGGGAGGAUUGGGAAGGUCAAAGAAAAUAACACACGACCGGUAAAUGUGGAAGAAACACGAGAAUAGUGGUGGUUUUGGAGACGGAAGAAAGAGAAACGGUAAACCAAGUCAUCUUGGUCUAGUGGUAAAAGGAUUCCAGUUGGAGUUUUCGUUCUGGUUUCGAGUAGCAUUAGCCACCUGUAGACACUCUAAGUGGCGAGAAAACUCGGAUUUCUAUGGACCUCGUAGGAUUAUUCUUUGGGCUUAAAAAGCCUUUGAAAUCCCCACGAUUAUCAGAAGAAAAAAAAAUAGUACAAGCAAAACCAUAAAAAAAGGAAGAAGAGAGAGAAAGAGGAGAGUUCUCGUACGGUACGGUAGACGAAAGGCCGUACUGACGAUGGAGGUUAAAUCUCAUCCUAAACGGGUUGAGAGAGUUUCACCUUUUGUUUUUACCGCAAACUCAGUGUACUCCUCAGUAUAGUUAAACAGUGAUAAUAUCUAGAUAAUAAAAGUAUAGUGAUCAGUUUAAUCGGAUGUAUUAUGUUGAAGCAAGUACAUCGCAUCAAUUGGGUCAUAUCAAGUGUGUCACAUAAAGUUUAUGGAUCUUACAUCUGAUUGUUGAGCUUAAGGCCGUGUAUCUGAUGAGCCCUAGAGUUUUAGGAUGCGGAAUAACUUUUAUAUAUAUCAUGUAUUCUUGUAAUCCUAAAAUAAAUUGAAUAUUGCCUCCAAAUAACAAAAAAAAAUUAUUUCUAGGCAUAGCCAAAUUGAUGAACCACAUUACAUAUAUUGUUGUAUCUUUGUUCAUAUAUAUUGUUGUGUCUUUGUUACAUCAUUUUAUCAUUUGUUUUAAUGCAACAUCACGACCAGUCUUAUGUUUUAAGAUUUGAGUUACAGUUAUAAAUAAAGUUUCUAUCAAAAAUACAAGUGAAAAUAAUAAAAUCCUAAACACUCCACGUACAGAUUUAUGUUAUAUGUUAUACUUUUUGUUUGUAUAUAAACUAUUAUUUAUAUUUCCAAAACCACCAUAGCAAUAUCUUAUUCUUAUUUCUACAAAUAAACAAUAUUAUCAACUUCAUCUAAUUUUGUGUUAGUCAAAUAUUUUUAUUUCCUUUCUUGUUCCUAUUUUUGAAUUAUUAGUUUUAAAAUUAUUAUUUUACAUAAUCUUAUUAGUUGUAAAUUCUUUUGGAUUGGAAAUAUAUAAAUUAUUUUGUUAUUGAUAUCGGAUAAAUAAUAUCAUCAGUAAGUAUAGUUCUUAGAAGAAUAUAUAUUGCAACUUAUUUUUGUUAAAAAUUAUUUUUAUACAUAUUAAAAAUAAGUUUUUAUUAUUUAUUUAUUUUUAAAUAGUUUAAUAGUUUUUGUUAUUAAUAAUAAUUCAUUAUUAUAUAUUUAUAUUUAUAUUUAUUUUAUUAAAAACUACUCUGGAACUUAUACAUCAAAAAUGUUACCAGUCAUCAGUUUUACUAAAAUAGUAACUCUUGUUUUUACUAAAAAUUUACCAUAUAAAAUUACAGUUUUUAUCACAUAAUUUUUACUGCAAGUUAUAUCGAAUUGUAAUACAUAUUGCAACUCGACUUCAAUAUUAUAUAUCAACAAACGGAGCCUUUGUUUCCAUAUAUCUGUAACAACAUACUAUCUCAUGUUGAGCAUAGGUAGACUUAUGUGAACAAAAGUCUUUAAUGUUUGUCUCAGGUGAAGAGAAGUCUCAAAACCAUAGUAUUUACGGGAAAAAAUCAAAUGUGUGUGGGAAAACCAAUGUAACUUGCAAACAAAAUAUACGUUAAUAGAAAUUUGGACUUUACAUAAGUACAGCAAAUAGUCUUUAGUUAUGAAUUAAAAGGCUAUAUUCACUAUUUCACUUAGUUAAUGGGUUUCGAACAUCAUUAUGGUUUUCUUAACACCACAUGGCAUGAAGAUUCUAUGAGAAUCUAAGAAUGAAAUGAUUAAGAUAGAACUUGAGUAGAUUAUGAGAGAUUAUGAAGAGUUUAGUGUAGAAUCAUGAUUGAGAGAGUAUGAUAAGAUAAAGAGAAACUCAGAACUGUAUAUUUAUUAUUAAUGACAAGAGUUGCAAUAUAUAGUGAGAGAUCAGUAGGGUUUUCGAAAUCAUAAAGGAUAGCUAAGCAUGUGAAGUCAACAAGGUUAGGAUAAGCUCUCUUUAACUCGGCCAAUCAGCGUUCCCACAUGCUUGGAGCAUCUAGGAUCUUGGACAAAGAUGCUCUUGCCUUUCCAGCUGUGCCAGCCUGUAAAGCCGCGCCUCUCUUAUCCUCCAACGGUCUGAUUCAUCAGCCAAAGCCCCUUCUCUUCCCAUAAGUUACUCGGGUAACUCCUUGUAACCGCGGUCAUGGUUUCACUGGUCUGAAUGUGUACGGACCGUACGGCCUUGUACGGCCUUGUACGGUCAGGCCACUGUGAACCUCUCCCAUCACACCAAUGCUUAACACACUCUCUUCAGUCUUAACCCCUUUGUACUUCACACUUGUAUACUCAACUCUUCUCAACACUCCCCCUCAAGCUUAGCUUUGUGAUACCUACAAGGGUAUUGAAGGAUCAAGCACCAUUUGAGGUACUGAACCAGCGCAAGCCAUCUUUGACAUAUAUGAGAGUGUUUGGAUGCUUGUGUUAUGUGUUGGUACCAGGAGAGUUGAGGAACAAGCUAGAAGCAAGAAGCAGAAAGGCAAUGUUCAUUGGCUACUCAACAACUCAAAAAGGAUAUAAGUGUUAUGAUCCAGAAGCUAGAAGGGUACUUGUAUCUAGAGAUGUGAAGUUCAUUGAAGNNNNNNNNNNNNNNNNNNNNNNNNNNNNNNNNNNNNNNNNNNNNNNNNNNNNNNNNNNNNNNNNNNNNNNNNNNNNNNNNNNNNNNNNNNNNNNNNNNNNNNNNNNNNNNNNNNNNNNNNNNNNNNNNNNNNNNNNNNNNNNNNNNNNNNNNNNNNNNNNNNNNNNNNNNNNNNNNNNNNNNNNNNNNNNNNNNNNNNNNNNNNNNNNNNNNNNNNNNNNNNNNNNNNNNNNNNNNNNNNNNNNNNNNNNNNNNNNNNNNNNNNNNNNNNNNNNNNNNNNNNNNNNNNNNNNNNNNNNNNNNNNNNNNNNNNNNNNNNNNNNNNNNNNNNNNNNNNNNNNNNNNNNNNNNNNNNNNNNNNNNNNNNNNNNNNNNNNNNNAACAAAGUAUGGUCUAGUUCAGACUUCCUGAAGCCUUUUCCAUUCAGUGUAGUACUCAGCUUGUGAUACCAGGCUCUAGGUGAUUGCUUCAAUCCAUAGAUAGCCUUCUUCAACCUUAGGACAUUCCCUGGCUUCACAAGACUCUCAAGACCCGGAAGAGGCUGCAUAUACACUUCAUCUUCAAGUUCCCCUUGUAGAAAUGCAUUCUUCACAUCCAUUUGCCACAAUCCCCAUUCAAGGUUGGUAGCAAUUGAUAAGAUGAUUCGGAUGGUGUGAAGCUUAGCCACUGGAGCAAAUGUGUCUAUGUAGUCCUCUCCAUAUGUCUGUGUAAACCCUCUAGCCACAAGCCUGGUCUUCUUCCUAUCAACUGUCCCAUCUGGUCUAUACUUGAUUGUAAAUAUCCAUUUACAUGACACUGCUCUCUUCCCUUUAGGCAGCUCACUCUCAUACCAAGUCCCAUUCUUGAUCAUAGCAUCAGACUCAUCCGCAACUGAGUUCCUCCAGUCUUCAUCCUUUAUAGCCUCCCCAUACGUUCUUGGUAUGUAGCUCUCAUCCAGACUUGUUAUGAAUGCACAAUGAUCCCUUGGAAACUCGGCAAAAGAGCACACUGCCUGACUUGGAUGAGCUACUGCUUGUGCAUUGUAGUAGACCCUGGUGUUUGCCCAGUUAGAUGGAUCUUUCCUUACUCUUGUACUCCUCCUCAGAGGCGCAGGCACACUCUCCACAACUGGAGCACUAGUCAUGUUCUCCAUUUCUUCUUCCUCUUCUUCAGGUACAAGUGGUGUACCUCCACUUUGAUCCCUUACUUCACUUGACUCUUCAUCAUUGAUCCCACUUUGAUCAUGACUAGCUGAGUCUCUUCCUUCUUCAUGUACCGCCUCAGACUUGUCUUCCCCCUCAUGAUCAAUGUGGGAUGUUUCUUCAGCUUCAUUCCUAGUAGGCGUCUCUUGCGCCUUUGGAUCCUGGGUUAGAUUAAUCCCAAGACCCUCUAAGAUCAUCCUAAGGCUUGUAGCCUUAUCAGAUGUUUGAGCUAGAUCCUUCAGAUCUUCCCAGCUCCUUUCUUCAUAGUAUCCUCUUGUUUCAAUGAACUUGACAUCUCUUGAUACCAGAACUCUUCUUGAUUCUGGAUCAAAGCAUUUAUACCCCUUUUGAGUAGUUGAGUAUCCCACAAACAUUGCUUUAGUACUCCUCGGUUCCAACUUGUUUCUCAUCUCCCCGGGGACAAGUACAUAACACAAACACCCAAACACUUUAAGAUGACUUAGAGAUGGCUUGGUCUUGUUCAAUACUUCAAACGGUGACUGAUCUUCCAAGAUUCUUGUAGGCACCCGGUUGAUCAAAUAGCACGCAGCUUGUACAGCAUCACUCCAAAAUCUCUUAGGUGCAUUGGUUUGGAACAUCAUGGAUCUAGCUACUUCCAUUAGGUGUCUAUUCUUUCUCUCCGCAACCCCAUUCUGUUGUGGAGUAUAAGGACAGCUUGUUUGAUGUAGAAUCCCAUGUAGAGCCAGAUGUUGCUUGAAGGCAUGACUUGUGUAUUCUCCACCAUUAUCUGAUCUGAAAAUCUUAAGCUUAGCAUUGUACUGGUUAGUUACAUAAGUCUGAAAAUUCUUAAAUGCUUCAAGAACUCUAUCCUUAGUCUUUAUAAGUGUUAUCCAGGUGUAUUUAGAUUUUUCAUCAAUGAAUGUGACAAAGUACUUAUAGUUUUCUCUAGAUAAGCAAGGAGCAGUCCAUACAUCAGAAUGUACAAGGUCAAAACACUUCUCAUAGAUAGUACUUGAUUUCUUAAAGACAGUCUUACAAUGUUUUCCCAAAAUACAUGCCUCACAAUCAUUAUUUUUAAACAUGACACCUGGUAACAUUAAGCUUAAGGCUCUAACAUGUGGAUGACCUAAUCUAGCAUGCCAUAAUGCAUCAUUAUUGAUACUUGAACUAGAACUAAACGAGCAAAUUGAACUGGAAAUAGGAGCUAAGUCUUCUAGCAUAUAGAGUUCUCCCUUUGUCACUCCUUUGCCAAUCAUCUUACUUGUCUCAAUAUCCUGAAACUUCACAUCAUUAGGACUGAAUAUAACAUUGCAAUGUAAAUCAGUAGUGCAUUUCUUAACAGAUAACAAGUUUGAUGUGAAUUCAGGCAUAUAAAGAGCUCUAGACUCUUUAUUAAACAGUUUUAGAUUUCCUAUUCCUGUUAUUGCAAUCCUAUCACCAUUAGCAAUCAUUACAUGACCCUGAGCAGGUUCUAUGUCUUUAAUCAAGCUAUUAUCACUAAUCAUGUGAUGGGAAGCACCUGAAUCUACAAUCAGUGAUUUUAUUACAUUAUGCGCAGCAAAGGUACUUGGUUGUCUCAGGUUAUCUAAUCUAGAUGCACCACUUAACUUGAAUUCAGGAUCACUACUGAGAUGAGCACAAGUCCUAUCUAGGUAUGAUGCAGCAAGAGAGUAACAAGGGUUAUUUCCAAUACAGUUACCAUUCUCCUUGAGAGCUUUGAUGAGGGCGUCUAUGUCUGAUCUCCGGAUCAACUCGCCUUCAGUGCUCCUCAAGGGUGUGUGCUGAGUAGUUAAGGCUCUCCCCUCACCCUCACGCAUUGCUGAGCCAGCCCCGGAUGAGCUAGCUUCUCCUCCUUCAUUAGAUAGGUGCGCCCUUGCCUCUCUAUCUUUCAUGAACUUAGCUGGCUUGAGAUGAGGAUGUAGGAUCCAGCACUGGCUCCUUUUGUGACCUAGCUUCUUGCAAUGAUCACAGUUGCCCCCAAACUUCCUCUCCUCACUCUUGUAUGCCGCUUUGUUUGCUUGAGCUCCAUCCGCAUGGUUAGCUAAGGUGAGCUCCCCCUUUCCUCCAAACAGCCCCACUGACCCUUCUUCUUUCUGUAUCUGAGCGCACACAUCUUCAAGUGAUGGUAGCUUUGGAGACCUCAGUAUGUGUUUGAUCAGAUCGUUAAAGAUAGGGUUCAAUGUCAGCAACAGCCCAAACACUUGAUCUUGAGCCCUCCUCUCCAUAAGAGUGUCAUGAUCAGUGGUGUUGGGUCUCAGCAUUUCUAGUUCAGACCAUAAGGCUCUGAACUUUCCCAAAUGCUUUACUCAACCUCUUCUUGCGCAAGUGUGUUGAUUGAUCUCUUCAACUCAAACACCCGGCUCAGAUUGGAUGUGUUCCCAUAGACCUUUUGAAGAGUAUCCCACAGGUCUUUUGGCGUCUCACAGUAGAUGUAGGCCUCCAAGAUUGAAGCUUCAAGCGACCCAUGAAGAACUGUCAACACCUUCAAGUCGUCUUGAUCCCACUUCUCUUGGUCCGCUACCAUCAGCUCUUGACCGCCUUCUCCCUCCGUAGAAACUGGCUUUGGAGUUCCAUCUGAGAUGUGACUCCACAAACCCUUGCUCCCAACUGCAGCUUUCACCAGGCGAGACCACAGCAAGUAGUUCCCACCUCCUUUCAACGUAACCGGAACCGUCAAAGUCUUGUUCUUGUCUUCCAUGAGUGUGACCGUGAGUAGAGAUGGUUUAGGAAUGAAGAUGGAGACUCUAGAGAUUUAGAAACCAGGAAAUGAGUAACCUGGCUCUGAUACCAUAUAAGAAUCUAAGAAUGAAAUGAUUAAGAUAGAACUUGGGUAGAUUAUGAGAGAUUAUGAAGAGUUUAGUGUAGAAUCAUGAUUGAGAGAGUAUGAUAAGAGAAAGGGAAACUCAGAACUGUAUGUUUAUUAUUAAUGACAAGAGUUACAAUAUAUAGUGAGAGAUCAGUAGGGUUUUCGAAAUCAUAAAGGAGAGCUAAGCAUGUGAAGUCAACAAGGUUAGGAUAAGCUCUCUUUAACUCGGCCAAUCAGCGUUCCCACAUGCUUGGAGCAUCUAGGAUCUUGGACAAAGAUGCUCUUGCCUUUCCAGCUGUGCCAGCCUGUAAAGCCGCGCCUCUCUUAUCCUCCAACGGUCUGAUUCAUCAGCCAAAGCCCCUUCUCUUCCUAUAAGUUACUCGGGUAACUCCUUGUAACCGCGGUCAAAGUUUCACUUGUCUGAAUGUGUACGGACCGUACGGCCUUGUACGGCCUUGUACGGUCAGGCCAAUGUGAACCUCUCCCAUCACACCAAUGCUUAACAUACUCUCUUCAGUCUUAACCCCUUUGUACUUCACACUUGUAUACUCAACUCUUCUCAACGGAUUCUAUCAAACCUAUAAACCAUCUUUAUAGUCUCAAACAAGUUAUAGUAAAUAUUUUCGACCAAAAAAGUUAUAGUGCAUAUGAAAAUUAAAAGACGUUAGUAUUAAAUAGAAACAAAGAAUCUCAAGAUAAUAAAACAAUAAUAAUCUCGAGAUAAUACUAAACUAUUAGUAAUUAGUGUAACUGGACAUAGGUAAACUUAUGUGAAAAGAAAAAGAGUCUUUACUUUUUGUCUUUGGUGAACAGAAGUCUUCGAACAUUAAAAUUUACAGAAAAAAAAAACAAUAAAUUUAGAGACAUAUCAAAAAGGAAAAACAAAAGUGGUCACUUUCAAAGCAGAAUAGUGGACACUUAACCGUGUUUAAGGGUUUUGAUGGUUUUCAAUAUUUUAUUCCCCUGGACAUUAUUAUUUGCAUGUGUCAUUACCACAUUUAUUUCACAAAAACAAUGACAUAGUUUUAAAAAAAACUGUGACAUUGCAUUAAGCUGAUUGUGACAUGUAAAAUUUCUUUAUGAAAUUAUAUUUGGCUAGAAUUUUUAAUAAGGUAAUGACUAUUAACUCUUAUACCAUUAUUAAACAUUUAAAUUUUAUGUAAUUAUAUUUAUUUUUGGCAAGACUUUUUAAAUAUUUAAUAAUUAAUAAUUUUUAUAUCAUCAUUAAAGAAAAUAUAAAAUAAACUAAACAUGACUACAUAUAACAUUUACAUUAAUUUAUAAAUUAAGAAAAUAAUUUAUAAAUUAAUUAAGAACAUGAUUUUCCACUAAAAGUAUUUUAACUAUAAUAAAAAAAAAUAUUAUUAAAAUUUAGGUAUUUAAAUAUAGACAAAAUUAAUUUGCAUAUGUGUCAUCACCAUAUUCAUUUUAAGAAAAUGACAUGGCUUUUGAAAUUAAAAUAUUAAUUAUAACUGUGUAUUAACAAAUAUAUAACUAAAAAAACACUAAUCAGUUUUUGUUGUUGAUGAUUAAUGAGUAAAACGUUUAUUAGCACUUAUCGGUUGAUUAGGUUAAUUAACAAAAAACUUUAUGGGCUUCAUGUAUUUAACUAAAACAAAUAAAAAUGUAACUUUAUUAAAUUUAAUAUAUAUAAAUAUAGACAUAUUUAAUAUUAGGAAAUAAGAUAAAUAUUUAAAUUAAAUAACCAAUAAAUAUAAUAAAAUAUAAAUAAAAAAAUUAUUUUUAGUAAAUGUAAUUAUAACUCUACUAAAUUUAAAUAAAAUAAAAUAGAAAUAGGUAACCAAAUUCGAAUUUUUUAAUAAAAAAAAUCACAUUUAUGAUUUUAUCUUUUUCCAAAUCGGUAAAUUUAAAAUAUAAAAAUAAUAAUAUCAAAAUGUAAAAUAAGUCUUGAAAAUAUUGUAAAGUUACAGUAAAAGUACAGAAAAUAAAAGAAAUGCUUUUCUAAAAUAAAAUAAAUACAAUAAGAUGCAAAGCUAAAAUUAGAGAAUAAUACAACACAGAGAUUAAAAUUUGAAGAAGUUUUCUUCUGAAUCAUUUUGCAUCUCAUUAUUCAACACCAUUUAUAUUUGGCUAUCAUUUUUAUGAUAUUUCAAAUUAUUUUUCGCAGUUUUGUUUGUUGUAUAAUAUUGUCCAUAUUCCACAUUAGAUCUACAUGUAUUUUUGAAAAAAUAAAUUCUAAUUUAUUGAUUCUCUCGAAAGAAAUAUUAAAUGAAAUUGCUAACUUUUAACAAUUCUAAAAUAUAUCUAUACAAUAAGGAAAUUGUAUUUUCAGUGAGGAAUGACCAAUAAACAUAUUGAAUUGUAAACAUAUAAUAUUUUUUGGUCGCAUCACUUCUAUACCCAUGACAAUGAACACUAUAGUGACUUCCAUGGUAAUUGUUUUCACAACAAAGUUGUUAAGAUGAGUUCCUUACCACUUACUAGUUUCUAAACAAUUAGAUUAAGUUGCUCACCUUCUAUCUCAGUUUCGAAUGCAAGACUCACAUGCUCACCGACGUGGCCUGGAACUCUGCCUCUCGUAAAGCAGGAGGUGGCUGGUACUGAAUUGAUCAUGAGAAUGUUGUUAUCUUGCAGGGUGCCCGAGUCUUUGAUCGUAUUUCCUCCCCACUGAUGGCGAAAGCCAUAACCAUCCGAUCUCUUGAAGCUGGAAUCACAGAAAUCUGCAUAAAAUCAGAUUGUCAAGUACUUAUUGCUGCUAUGUCUUCGAAACGUUUUCCGGCGGAUCUCUACGGAAUCUCCCGAGAUAUCGAGACUCUAUCUCUUUGCUUCCUUUGUAUUUCCUUUUGUUUUAUCCCGAGGAACCUGAACUCUAGAGCCAAUUCUUUGGCUAAGUCUGUAUUAAACUCUUCUCCCACCAACUAGUUUGGUCAGGGUAGCAUUUAUAAUAUUUGGUGUUCAAAAAAAAAAAUUAAGUUGCAUGACAUUGAUCUCACUCAAAUUACUCUAAAGAGUAAAUUUACUCUCUCAAAUAAGAGGUUUAUUGCAGUAUUUAGGGAUCGAAUCCACAAGGAGUUAGAGAACCUAAUAAAUCUAAUGGGUUUUGUUAAGUUGGAUGGUUUAAUGAUUAAAAUGUAAAUUUACAGUUUUGUUUGAGCAAGUAAUUGCUCGAUUGAUUGGUUGAGGUUUUGGUGCUUAAAAGAAAAUAGCUAGACUUAGGGUUUUUAUUUUUCCUUGAAAUUAUAAUCUUACGGAUGCCUAAUGGGUUGCAUGCAUGAUAAUGUAGAGCUCAACUACUAAGCAACAAGUCAAUCAGCUCUCGCGUUUCUGGACUUUUCUAUUAACUAGAUCUAAUGACCCAAACAAAUGUGUUCGAUCAAUAGCAAGUGUCGAUCGAUUAUCCUAUAGGGAUAUCGAUCGAUACACCUUUCACUCCGUCGAUCGAUUAUCCAAUAUGUAUAUCGAUCGACGCGCUUCUAAUUAGGAUUUAUGCGCAGGUUGAAUGAUGCUCACUAAGCUCACUAGAUCAGCUCUCGCCUUACUCUUAGCAAGAAACUUAGCUCAAUUAGAAUGGUUUCAGGAUGAGAAUGAAGCUAUCGCUUUUAUCUAACAAUCCUAGGGCAAAUUCUAGGUAGUUAAUCUAGAAUCAGGCAUUAAUGACAAUCCUAAUGAUUAUUAUCACAAUUCAGCAAUCUAUAGUUGGGGUUAAUCCCUCAUAACCUAUUUAAACCCUAAAAUCUAACAAUGGAACUAAUCAGACAUGGCCAAGCAAUUCAUAACAACAAUUAGGUAAGAAAACUUCAUUAGAAUAUUAAAUAGAUAUUAAUGGAGUUCCAAUCACAAAUAUAAUUUUGGAUCUUUUCUCCAAUAUAUCAAAAUCCUAAAAACCUUUUGCUGAUAUAAUAGUAAAACUAGAAACACAAGAAAAGCACACUUUGCCUCUAACAUGGUGGUAAGGCUUAUAUAAUUAGGUUAAAACUCGUCAGGGUAAUCUUGUAAAUUAGUGAAUACUUGGGCUUCAAGUCGGCUGUGACCAAACGGGCUUUCUGCGCGCUUCGCUGUCGAUCUAUGUUCACAUCGAUCGAUGUUCUGAUGUGAACAUCGAUCGAUAUUUGUUCCUCGAUAUCGACCGAUGGUCGAGCUCGACGGUCAUCUCGGAUGCUUACUCCAAAUAUCUCCAAAAUCAUCAAUUAUCUCCAAAUCACUCCUCAUCUUAUAAAUAUAAUAAAUAGAUUCUAUAAUAUAAUAAUUAGUAGUAAAAACACCUAUAAACCACGGUGAAAAUGGGUCAAAUUCGUGGUUUAUCAGACAUCGAUUAUGGACACAUAGUCUAUCCCGGAGAUUUCAAGAGCUGAUUGGAAAGGAAAAAAUUUAACUCUCAAUCCGCCUUAAAAAAAAAAAAUCCUCCUCUCAACAAAAGAAAAGUACAAAAGAUAGAGAAGCAUCGAGAGACUGAUCAUGCUUUGAUCAGAUUAGGGCUUGAGUAAUCUAGGACUUCUCCUUUAAGAUUACCAUUAACAUCGCAAGGAGAGAACGGUUACUCCCGUACAAACUUAUCUAUGUAUCUAUUGUUUAUAGCAUUAAAACCUUAUUUUUUUCUUAUUCGAUCAAAAAAUGUUUUGAUGCUAUAAACAAAAUAAAACAAUUUAAUAAAAUGAUGAUAAUAAUAAAAUUCAAGAAAAAUAACUAACAAAAACAAUUGUUAAUUAUGGUGUGAUUAAUAUACAAAUUUACUCAAGACUGUAUACUAUCUUUUAUAUAUAACUGCAUGUACUUGUAAAAUUGUUAAAUAAGCAUAAUUAUGAAAAUAAUAGAUAAAGAAUAAUUUGUAAAAGCAAUGGAUAAAAAGAUUAAGUUAAAGUUAAAAAUGUUGAUAAAUACAUAUAAAACAUUGGUUAGCCUUUAAAUAUUAGUGAAGUAUGAGUUAAGAAAUUUUUUUUAACAAAAACAAAAAAACUUUUUAAAACCAACACCACAAAAAUAAAACAUUUAAUAAAUAUGUAUAUUUUUAAUUUUAUAUUAAAUAAAUGCUCAAAGCCAAGGUUUAUUUUUCGAUUUAGUAGGCACGGCACCUAGUAAUAAUUCGUUCGUACGAGUUCAAUAUCUCCUCACUCUCUAUCUCGACUCUAUAUAAACUCUCUCGCAUAUUCACAUAUUCCACACAACUUCACAAAACAUGUCUUCUUCGUUUCUCUCCUCCACUGCUUCCUUCCUUUUUGUUCUUCUCUACAUUGGUUCCUUCCACGUCUCCGAUGGAGCUCAACAAGGAACAUACAUCGUUCACAUGGCGAAAUCUCAGAUGCCCUCGAGCUUCGACCACCACUCUCUCUGGUACGAGUCCUCUCUCAAGUCCAUCUCAGAAUCUGCUGAAAUGCUCUACACUUACAACAAUGCGAUUCACGGAUUUGCCACUCGGCUUACUCCCGAAGAAGCUGACUCGCUCAAGACUCAACCAGGUGUCAUCUCCGUUCGACCAGAGCAGCGGUAUGAGUUACACACCACUCGGACUCCACUAUUCCUCGGCCUCGGCGUACACAACUCCGGCCUGUUCCCUGAAACCGGUCCAGGCAGCGACGUCGUCAUCGGAGUUCUCGACACAGGUGUUUGGCCAGAGAGCAAAAGCUUCUCGGACGAAGGAUAUGGUCCUAUUCCGUCUACCUGGAAAGGCGAAUGCGAGGCUGGGACAAAAUUUACCACUUCCCUCUGUAACCGCAAACUAAUCGGAGCUAGAUUCUUCGUUUGUGGUUAUGAAGCAGAGUAUGGACCAGUGGACGAAUCUAAAGAGUCGAGAUCGCCUAGAGACGACGACGGUCACGGAACACACACAGCUUCAACCGCGGCUGGAUCCAUCGUGGAAGGAGCUAAUCUUUUGGGCUUCGCUAACGGGACGGCUCGUGGGAUGGCUUAUCGCGCUCGAGUGGCUGUUUACAAAGUUUGUUGGAAACCUAAAUGCUUCAGCUCAGAUGUUUUAGCUGGAAUCGAUAAAGCCAUCGAAGAUAAUGUCAACGUUCUGUCGUUAUCUCUUGGCAAAAGAAACAGAGAUUAUACUAACGAUGUUGCCAUGGGAGCAUUCUCGGCCAUGGAAAGAGGGAUCUUUGUUUCCUGCUCUGCUGGUAAUGAUGGUCCCAGCCCAUCCAGCUUAUCGAAUGUAGCUCCAUGGAUUACUACUGUUGGUGCUGGUACAUUAGAUCGUGAUUUUCCGGCACUAGUGACUCUUGGCAACGGGAAGAGUUAUAUUGGAGCUUCCUUGUUUAAAAAAGAUGCUCUUCCGCCUACACUGUUGCCGUUUGUUUACGCCGGGAGUGCUAGUAACAAUGCUACUUAUGGAAAAUUUUGUCUCUCCGGAACACUAAUUCCGGAGAAGGUAUAUGGGAAGAUCGUGAUGUGCGAGAAAGGAGAGAAUGAUAGAGCUGAGAAAGGAGAGGUGGUGAAAGCUGCUGGUGGACUCGGAAUGAUUCUGCCGAAUAGGGCGAAUAGGGGAGAAGAGCUUGCCGCAAAGGCCCAUGUGUUACCGGCGACCACUGUGGGACAAAAAGCCGGUGACAUUAUCCGGCGCUACGUCAAGACGGAUCCGAGUCCGACCGCUUCGAUUGUGAUCCAAGGAACGGUCGUCAAAGUCAAGCCCUCUCCUGUGCUUGCAGCUUUCAGCUCGCGAGGACCUAAUCCCAUAACGCCAAACAUUCUCAAACCGGACUUGAUCGCUCCUGGAGUCAAUAUCCUCGCCGCAUGGACCGGAGCUCUAGGACCUUCCGGACUCGCUUCCGAUACUAGCCGCGUGGAAUUCAACAUCAUCUCAGGAACGUCCAUGUCUUGCCCUCAUGUGAGCGGUUUAGCGGCUCUUCUCAAAUCAGUGCAUCCAGA
RNAcentral lists this long non-coding RNA (47639 nucleotides) under Brassica napus (rape). RNAcentral's name for it is "long non-coding RNA (BNAP_LNC022570)". The record is from RNAcentral. Lineage: Eukaryota; Viridiplantae; Streptophyta; Magnoliopsida; Brassicales; Brassicaceae.